UUGAGUUAGAGGCAUAACUGCCUUUGCUUCUUCAUAAAGCUAUGCUGGUAAUUAAGGCUAUCAAAAUUAAAUAAUAGUGUGCUGCCUGCUGCUGCAUUACCUGUACUACUGUUAUGGUAAUAAGUUUUGAUAGCCAGUACAACCAUUAGAAAGUGUGUAGGCCUUCACAAUCAUGUCAGUGCCAUGUGUGUAUACAUGGUUGACUGUUUGUAUAAUACUAUGGAAAAAUAAAACAGAAUGGCCUUUACUAUUUUAUCUUUUGACUCAAUUUAUACUCUAUGUUUUCUCCAACUUCUGCGUCCAUCCAUCAAAUCAUCAAACGACAAACCAGGAACCAUAACAUAGUAAAUCGGACAACAAAUAAACCCCCAACAACAAACCAUGUUUCCAACAGCAGAAUAAAACAUAACUAGCAUCCCAGCAACUCAAUACAUAACCAGUAGCAGCAACUGCCACCAAGUUUUAAAACAUGCUGGAUUGGUAAAAGUCAGCAAUGGUCAAGCCAUCGGUUACACAUUCUACCUGAAGCUUUGACAAUACAGACAUCACCAAUAGCUUAAACCAAAUCAUCAAUGUCAACACAACUUUCUUGUAGAAUCCAUGGCCAAUGGAGCUAAUUUAAAUUCCGUAACUGUGUAUGCAAUCAAUGUUGGGUGGGAAUGCAAUCUAAUUCAAAUAAAUCUUACUUGAGUGUGUUUGUUGGAUAAAAUUAGGUCUCUCUCGUUUGUAACUCUAUCGGUAAGUUAAAUUCUAAACGUGAAUUUGUAGGGUUGUUCAUUGAUAAGGAGAUUAAUUUCAACAGCUUUCUCUUGGUUAUCAAUAAAUUAAGUAGAGACUGAUUGCUAGGCACGACAUUGGCAACUUUAACUAAUCUAUUAAAAAACAAUAAAAUUAUCUUUGCAUCGAUGAUUAAACUUGUGAAUCAAACGGAUAUUUUACAAUUGGCUAGAGCUCCAUUUGAUUGGUAUUUCUUCAAUUUUUAUUAUUACCUUCUUGGUUAAGAUUUAAAUUUAAAUUUAGUUUUUUAUUUUCUAAAAUCUCCAUCAUAUUUACUUUCCUUGUUUUUGUUUUAAAAAAUAAAGUUAAUAUCAAUCUCUAUGAAUACUACUCUACUUAAUACUAUGUACUAAAUUUAUAUUUUUUAGUAGGAUUUUAUUUUUAUAAGUCUCCACAAUUGUACAAAUUUUAGCCUUUUUAUCAUAUAUUAAUGUUAAUAAUUUUAUCUCUUUCUUGUUUUUAAUUUAAUUUAAUUUUUGUUCCUUUUUAUGUUUUGGUCUUUCUUUCUUUUUUCUGUCAUAAAAUAUAUUUAUUAAAAUUAAAAUUUUGAUCUUCUUGUGUAGGUGAAAUAGUACAAUCUUGAGUUAGAGAGAACUGCUCGAAGACUAAGGAAGAGAGUUCAAGCGAGAACUAACCCACCGUCUUCAUUACCCAACUAGUUACAUAGAACAACUCAGUCGAUUCAUCUACCGAAUCAAAAGGAGAAGAACCAAUUUCUCUCUUAAAAAAUUCUGAAGCAACAACUGGUAUGCAUUGAGUAUCUUAGAUUAGAGGUAUCUUUUGAAUCAUCUAUUGCCUACUUUUUGUGGUCAAGAAAACGAAGAUCCUCAUAAGCACUUGAAGGACUUCCAUGUAGUGUAGUUUGUUCUACUAUGAGACGACAAUGUGUGAUCAAAGAACAAACCAAACUAAGAGCCUUCCCGUUUUCACUAGCCAACAAGGUGAAGGAUUGGCUAUGUUAUCUACCUCCUGGAUUGACAUGAUAAGAUUAUUUUCGGAUUUUUUUUACGUCAUGUGCUACUUCUACUAGGAAAAAGUUACAGCAUCAAGCAAAACGGCAUGGAGACUCCACGAGUAUUGGGAGAGACUUAAGCAAUUAUGUGCUAGUUGCUCCCAUCAUAGAAUUUUGGAACAAUUAUUCAUCCAAUAUUUUUAUGAAUUACUCCUACCCAUGGAAAUAAAUAUGAUGGAUGUUGUCAACGAAGGUGUCAUAGUGAAUAAAACUCCUCAUGAGAUCAGAAAGUUAAUUUCGAUCAUGGCUGCUAAUUUGCAGUAGAUCAAAUUCAGCUAUGACAAACCGAUAAGAGUAAAUGAGGUAAAUGUCACUUCUCUUUUAAAAUAGAAUUUCUGAACUGACUUCUUUUACUGAUCAGAUGGUUGUAGGAAACUCUCGUCAUGUAAAGGGUUGUGGGAUCCGUGUAUAUUCAAUCCAUAAUCGAGACAGAAUAAGGAGUCACCCACUUGGUUGGAAAUUAGAAAUUCAAUGGGAUAGGAUACUUUAUCCGAUUGGAUCUAACAUUCUGAAGAGAUUAGUAUGUUGUUUUUAUGGCCAUGUUUUCCAGACCAUGAGGCAUUCAACACUUUGAAACACUGCUUAGUUAAUCUAUACCAUACUUAUGUGUUUUAAUGAUGAGUUGGUGUGAUGGAUUAUUACUUCAGUUUUAAAAUUAUUAAAAAAUUCUUUUAUAUACUAAUUAAAUUAUAUUUUUGUAAUAAUAUUUUUUUAUUAUCUUUUUUACAUAUAAUAAAUCAAUAAAAAUUUGAUCAUAAAGAUAUUUGAAUUCAAAAUAUCAUGCAUAGAUAUUGCCAUCCCAUUUUUUUUAAACAAUUCAUCAAAUUUCAACUAAAAUUGCAUAUCAAUUUUCAAUUGAUUAGAUAUUAAUUUUUUUUAAAAAUUAAAUAAUGUUAAUUUUCAAUUGAUUGAAUUUUUUCAACACUUUCUCAAACAGGCAUAAGUUUAUAUAUAAAAUUUAGCACAAAUACCAACAGCUGGUAGCGCCCGCCCACGAGUCGUAGAAGUAAUCGGAUGCGCUAAUGGUUGAGUGAUACCCAAAACAAACUGAGCCUUCAACCUUUGCCUAUGAAAUUUGUCAGCAAAAUCGACAUCAUGUUGCGAGGAAAACACCUCACCCUUCCAAAAAAAAAACAAGUUAUGAUGGAACCAAAUGCUCCACAAAAUAGUAAGAGUCCAACAAACUCUAUUAACAUCAACUGACUCAAGCAAAGUGCGAAUAAAAUGGAGAACAUCAAAAUGCGGAUGUGGGAGUCCAGAAUAUUACCAAACCACCCGAGUGAGCGCACAAGAAUUAAAAACGUGAUCAAGCGUUUCCAACUCUCCACGUCGGAUACAAAUAGAAGGCACAUUUAAUCCUUUAACAAUUAACAUUGCCUUGGUAGGAAUAAAGUUUCUGAGACACCUCCGAUGGGAAAUGGCCAUUCCAAAUCUUCAAUCAAGGACCACCGGCUUCAUUCGAAACAGAAUUGGAAUACAAAUCAGAGGCUAACUUGCAUCCUGAUUUUAUUGAAUAUGAUCCAUUACUAGACCAACGCCAAAUCAUCUUAUCCAAUCCUUUAUGCAGAGCUAUCGGGAUCUUAUAAAUGCAACUACAAUCAACUUAUCUCAGACAUCAUCGGUAUCACUAAGUAAAUCGCACACCUUCUAAUGUUCCAUACCCAGCAAAGGAAUAGAAUCAAUAUAGAAAUUAUAUAUAUUCAGGUCAGGUUGGGCUCGGGCUUAAAAACUCUACUCAAGGCCCGAACGGGCCUAUACAUUUUUUCAAGCCCAUUUUUUUAGCUUUAUCUACUUGUCCAAACCCUCUCAUAUUUCGAGCAAGCUUUCAAGUUCAGAGGGGUAACUUGACACUUAGACAACUCUAAAUUAAAGCAUAGUAAACAAUUAACUUUACAUUUAUAAUAAAAAAUACCAAUUGAUUUUUAUGUGAAUUUUUAAUAAAUAUAUUUUUAAAUAACUUUAUUUUUCAUUUAUAUUAUAAAUAUAAGUGUAUCAUAAAUCUCGUAUUUAUUAAACAUCUCACUUUAAUAAAUAAGUAAGGAUGCUAACAAACAUAUUCCUCUAUAAUGGAUCAGGGAGCUGAAUAUAUGCUUUAAAAGAUGGUGACAAUUAGCAUGUAUACACACACACACGCAUGUAUACAUUUCAAUUAGCCAGGUAAAAGGCAAAAUCAAGCACAUGCACAUGAUAAUGAUGAAUGAAGGCACUUGCAUAUUCCCUUUUUUUCCUAAGAAAAACAAAAAGGAAAUUAACAUGCAUAUAUUCAUUUGGUGAGAAUAUAUAUUUGGAAGGCAAAUCCUUUUAUCUGCUCACCUUAUUUUGGAAUUAUGAAGUUUAAAGUGGAUGCAACCACAAAAGAGAUGUCUAGAUCGAUUAGGAAUAUAAUAUCAAAUAUUCUGAAAGAAAAAGAAAUUUUUUUAAGCGUAACAAGUAUAAUAUAGUUACAAAUAUAAAUAAUCAUAAAUCGAUCGUUCUAAUAUAAUCGAGAUUAACAUUAAAUUAAGAUUAAUUAAAUUAAAACUCAAAAACCUUACGUAAAUAUUUAUGCAUAGUAAGUCUUAAACUGAAGUACUUACGAUCCAAGAAAUCCAUUUUUGUCAACUGAACUAAAAUCUCAUUUGAUUGAAUUUUAAAUAUUUGGUUAUUCUUUAAAAAUAGUAAAAUAAAAAUUUUUCAAAAAGUAAAAAAAAAAAAUUAAAUCUAGUAAUGUCAUUAAUAUUAUACAUGCUAAAUUGCAUGUACACAAUUUUUUUAAAAAUUAAAAAUUACAUAAAAUACGAUACGUUAGAAAGAGUAAUUUGAUAUUAAAAGAAAUUCAAACGCUAAUUUAAUACGAAAUAUAAUUUCUAAAAACUCUUUAGCACGAAAAUUUAAUAUCCUUAGUAAUUGGGUUCGGUUAAAUAAAGAUGGUUCAAUCAAAAUCGAAGAAAGUUUCAUUGUGGCUAGAGGAUUAGUGAGUAACCAUAAUAGGGGUGGAUAAUUGGUUUCGACAAAUACUUUGGAAAUUGUACAGUUUCAAAGGCUGAAUUAUGGGGUGUAUUUGAUGGUCUAAAACUUAUUAGAGAUCAAAGCUUUGAUAGAGUUUACCUUGAAGCUGUUAACACAAUUCAGGAAAGUUCCUUCGGAGACUCAAAUUCCACUUUAGUUAAAAGAAUUCAUUAGCUCUUAAGAAGGAUAAAACAUUGGAGGAUUCAACAUAUCCUUCGAAAAGAGAAUUUAAUUGUGGAUAGAAGAACAGUGUAAUAUACGAAAAAUCCUCUUUUGGAGAAGCUAGUUUAAUUUAGUUUUUUUUCUUUUUGCUUUAUUUUACAAAAAAAGAAAUUGAUGUUAAAAUUUUAUUUUAUAUUUUUCUCCAAGAUACAAUUUUCAUCUAUAUUUUUUUUUCAAUCAUCCACGUAAUAAAUGUGACGUAAUCUAACAUGAUUUUAACUUAAAGAGUAUCUUAUGCUUUCGUGACUAUGUUAAGUGGCUUUUGGAAAUUCAAGAUUCCACCAGUUCUUAUUUAAUAACUAUUAAUGUUGUCCGAAAAUGAUUUUUAAAAAAUAAAUUGAUUUUAAAAAAAUUGAUAGAUUUUAUUGUUUGGAUAAUUUUUUGUAAAAUAUUUUUCGUUAUUUGAAAAAUAUUUUUGAAAUCAUUUUAUAAAAAUUGUUCUUCAUGAACAAGCAUAGCAUAAAUAUAUUUGUUGCAAAAUAUUAUAAUACAAUUUCCUUUUGACAAUUUAAUUUAAUUUUAUAAUAAGAUGAUACUUUGUAAUAAUCAAUAUCAUAUAUAAACUUGAUAAUAAAUAAUGCCUAAUUAAAAUUUAAUUUACUUUACAUAUAUUCUAUAUAUGAGAUAAAUUAAACUAAACAUUAUUUAAACAAAUACUCAUAUUUCAAAUUUUAUAUUAAGUUACAAAAUUUCAUAAGUCCUUGUAUUCUUUGUAAAUUUUAAAUUUAGUCCCUAUAUUUCUAUUUUUGAAAAUUUGAUCAUAAUUAUAUUUAAACUCAAAACAUCAUGCAUAGAGCUGUUGUAACGCCCCAAAAUCUUAAACUUUCGAUUUAUUAAAUUUUAUUAUUAGUCAAUAUUUGCUUCAGUGGUUAAUGGUCUUUAGUGUGGCUUGGAGAUCACUAGUUUGAAUUUUUGCGUGGGUGUGGGGUGAUUUUAUUUUGUUAAACGACUUUGAGUGCUGUUUAGUGAACGGAGUUUAUGUUAAGAGUUGAACUCAACCUGUAAGGCUGUUUGGAUUGAGGGUUUGUUUUGAAAAGAUUUAGCUAAUUUAUUUAUUAUUUUAUUUUGUUUUGUUUCAAAACUACCCACUUUACUCACGUUACCUAUCUUUCUCCCCAAUUUUGUUUCAUACAUUUUUCUUUUCUUCCUUUUUCUUUCAAGCUACUAUGUUUUUGACGUUCUUGCUGAUUUUCUUUUACCCAAAUAUUUCGUCUUUGAUUUUGAUUCUUCUUUUUAUUUUAUUGAUUGCCAAGCUGAGGUUGCUUAUAAUCUCUGUUUUUUUCAUUUCUUUUUCUAUUAUUUCUCCCUGGUAUGAUUUAGUGACGUUGGGUAAGUUUUAAUGCUAUUCUUGGAUUUAUAAUUUUUGGGGGCUUGGUUCUUUUGAUGUUUGUUGUGAAGGUUUAGUUUGGAAAUUUGAUUUUAUGUGAGUUAUGUUUAGGUGAGGAUUGUGUGAUGGUGGGUUCUUCGACGAAUUGGAUUCGCUCAAGUUGUGAUCGAUAGGAGGUGAGUGUUCUGCUAUUAUGGGGUUAGUUCGUAUCGAUUUCUAGAUUCGUUCAUGUAGGAUUUGUUACAUUAAUCGUUUAAGUUGGAGAAAUUAUGUUGUUAAUUUGUAUUAUUUUGUCAAUUUAGGUAUUAGAAUAUUUUUUUUUGGAGUGUGCAUCAGAUUUUUGACCAGGUGUGAGAAACCCAAAAAACAACAAACAACGAAAGCUAAAAAAUUGUAUUGUCGACACCACACGGUUGUGUGGUAGGCCGUAUGUUGGACCGUGUGUGACGCACGGUCUAGGCUAUUUGGGCUGUGUGGACCACAUGAGUGUGUGGGCCAUACUGGCAUGUGUGAGGCCAUUUGGGCUACACAGGCUAGGCCAUUUGGACCAUGUGAGCCCAAAAUUCUAAAUUUUUCUCUAGGGUCGUACACAUCGUUCUGAUCGAUCAUAGGCCUUCUGUGAGGUCGGUAUGUGAUCAAAUAGACUUUAAAGCAUGAAAUCCGGUGAACUGUUAGUAUAAAUUAUGAUAUCUAUUCAUAUAUUUGAGAUGUUAUUUGUUAAAUAAACCUUGUAAUAAGAUAUAAGAAACCCGAGAAAUGCUAUGUAUGUUUUGUAUUUGUUAUGUCAUGCAUGUAUAAAUGUAGCAUUCUGAUUAUGUUUUGUUCUAUAUUUGCAUCUAGGAUGGGUUAUAUUAUGUGGAGGAAGUGUUUUUGUGAAUGGCGAUAAUUUGUCUAUUACACUGGCAACUUAAUUGCAAAUAUUCUGAAAAGUGUCAUAUCGACAGUAAAUGGUGUGUAGGGUUGGAUGGGUAUUUCAGACCAUAUAUGGUGUGUUGGGAUGGUCGGAGAUGGUGUGGAGCGGAUGGGGGUAGGAAUAUAUGUAUGUAUCUGUACUUCUCUAAUAUGAAUCUGUCGCAAGUGAAUAUGAUAUACGAAUUGUGCAAGUGUAAACAUCGAAUCAAAUAAUAAAGUGAUUAGUGUGUAUCGUUCCCACGAUGAUCGAAUUAGGUACACAAAUGGUCAAUAUAAUAUAAUAAAAUAUGAUUAAUACUAUGGUAAAACUAUGGUAAGUAUGCAGUGACAAUUAAAAGGAAUAAUGAUGUAUGCAAUAUAUGGAGUUAAUGAAUACUUGGAAAUGCUAUGGCAAAAUGAGAGUAGGAAUGUAAUGACAAUUAUGAAAAAGAUUAUAUGAUUAAUAUGUAACUGACAAAUUAACAACUAAGGAUGUGAUGUCAAAGAUACUACGACAAAAGGUAAGGGUUAUGCGAUGUUGAGUGGGAAGGUCGGGAUUACUAAGAAUCUACUUUUUCUGUCAGCAAUGCCUUAGAAAAAUCAUACUUAACCUACUUCUUUGAAGAGUUCUAAAGUGACCUGCUUCUUUCGGAAGUAGAAACAUCAAGUUACCUCGCCUGUGUCUAUAGGCCUUUGAUAUGGUACCCUGCACUUUUUCCUUCUGUAUGAACGUUGCUCUAUGUCUAGAGUCUACUACAAGUAUCGGUAGAGUACUCGCUCAUAUCAUUCAACCAUGGUCUAACUAAUCUAACCUUUUAGACUUUAGAUUAAUUUAAGGGUAUGCUGCAUAGUCGACUAUGUCUAGGGAUUGCUCACAGACAUUUUAAAGAAUAAAACAAUUGAAUGAAAUAGUAAAAUAAUUCAGAUUUAUAUUGUAGUCAUUAAAGACAGUUAAAGUUCAAUAAAGUAACCCCAACCACAUGAGAUUUAGCUCAUAGGUUGGCAAAUAAAAUUUAACUUGUCGUUUUCAUCACUGUAAUUAACGAAUGAACAUAUUAGAAAUAAUGGAAGAAUGUCGGGAAGACAGUGUUCACUUGUCCAAUCAACACUCCAGCUGCGCAGUGUCCUGAGGUGGUUAAGAGGGACUGCCUUUGUUUUUCCUUUUCUUGUCUCUAUUCAGCCUCUACCUUUCUAUUGCGCCUCAGGUUCUCACCUUUUGUUCACUUCUAGGGUUUCCUCCUUUUCUUCUUUUUAUUUUUUCUUUUUCAGAAUAACUCCAACGGCUCAAGAUUUAUCUUCUCCUCUUUUCUAGGCAGAUUUAUCUGGUACAAGUAGAGUUGGAUUGAAACUGAUAUAAGUUAAAUGUUGACUAGACACCUUUUUAACAUUGCCAUGGCAUACGAAUUGGAAAUUUGACCACCUUUUUGCCCUAGCAAAACUUCACUCUUUUAUUUCUUGUUCCUUACCCUACACCUGCCAAUACCACAAAACACAACCUUUUCACAAGCAAUUAAAAGUACCUAAUAUUUAAGUGCAGCCCAAGUUCUAAUGCAAUGCUAAAAAUACUAAUUAAAUGUCCUAAAAUGCAACUAGAUGUACUUCAGUAUAGGCAAUUAACUAGGUCAAAAGGCAUGAAAUAUAACGCUUGAAACAAGAGUUAUCUGUCUGAUAUAAAUUAAUUGUUUAAAGUUAUCCGUUAUACACUGAGUUUUGUAAGCUCACUUUCUAUUUGUCUAAUAUUUUCAGGUAAUGCUCAAACUUAGGUGAACUGGUGUGAUAAAGCUUGGUUAAAUUGAUUUAGUUUCAUUGUUUAUUUAACUUAAAUUUGGGGUUAUUGCAUUUCAUUAUUAUUGGACUGUUGAGACUUUUUGGACUAUUUUGAUUUUGGGGAUUUUAUUUUCAAAUUUUGCAUGAUACUAUUAAAAACAUUUUGUCGAAAAUGUUUCUUUUCCUACAAAACAACUGAUUUUGAGAAAAUAAACUUGGUUUUCCAAAAUAUAACGAUCUGAGAAUUUCCGCUGCUAAGUAUUCAUUUUAGAAAAUGUAAGCAAACAUUGUUUUCAACUAUAAAGUUAAGUUGGAUGUAUUUUUCUAUUAAACUGGGGUUUAAGUAAUAAAAGUUUACAACAUUUUCCCAAAAUUUACAAAAAACUGGAUUUACAACCGUUUAAUGUAACAUCUCCAUAUUUGAUCAUAACGUCUAGGCUGGGCUUAGGUUGUUACAUUUAGUGGUAUCAGAGUAAAGUUGCAAAACUUAGGUUGUGAAAUUCAAAAUUGUUUUCCGAGUAAAGUUCCUUUCUACAUUAAUCGAAAAAAUAAUUCUGUGAAAUCCCAAGUCUCCGGUGUCGAUUCUGUAAGUACUUCUGACUUAGAUAAACCUUAGUUUAGAAAACUUUAAAUUGGUUAGAACCAUACUGUGAUAAUUAGAGACUGAAACAUCUCUGUAUAUUCUUCUAAUAAGUUUUUGAGCAUAAAAUAUCUACUAAUAAAUACUGGAACUGAUACAUAAAAUUUGUAAUGUAGAUAAUAUAUACGAUGAGUACUUAUGGAACACGUAGACUCGAUACCCGUUUGUGCGGUGGGCACCGAAGAGGGGCUCGAGCUGAGUCAUCCUUGAUGGGUAGUAUGCCUAAUUUGGAUACAAGCGAGACAUCAGGUACACCUACUGCUGAGACUAGGUCUCAAAGUUGCUCGGCUGGGAUCGACUCAUUGUCCCAUGCCAUACUCAAGGAUUUGGAGAGGUCGUUGGACCCAUUUUGGUCUUGAGAGCCGUGGGUCAGUAACUGAACGAAUUUGGUCCAAUGGUGCUGAAUUAUUCAGGGGUGUUACUAGAUUCACCCCAGCUGUGGCCGAAUAUUGGUAGGAGGCCACAUAGAGGAUUAUGAACGAUAUCACUACACCCCUGAGCAUAAAUUAAAAGAUGCAGUACCAUUGCUUUGCAAUGUGGUAUAUCAGUGGUGGUUGACGGUUGAUAAGGGUACUCAGUCGAAUCAGAUUACGUGGGAUCAUUUUAAGAGCGCCUUCCAGAGUAAAUAUGUGAGGGCGAGUUUUAUGGAUGCUCAUAGACGUGAGUUUAUAAGCCUUACUCAGGGGGAAAAGGCUAUGGUCUAGUUUGAGGCUGAAUUCCUAAGAUUGAGCAUAUAUGCUCGUGGGCUAGUAUCAAAUAACUAUUAUAAGUGUAUCCGCUUCGAGGAAUGCUUAAGAGAUAAUCUCAGGGUUCUGAUAGCUUCGCAAAGGGAGCAGGUUUUUGCCAUCUUAGUGGACAAGUCGAGAAUUUCUAAGGAGGUUAAGCGUGUUGAGCGUGAAAGUAGGGAUCGUGAGAGAGGUAACAAUAAGAUGGAUUCAGAGCCCUCUAGUCCUAUUUCAAGGCCUAAGAAACGGGUUAGAUCUGAUUGGCCUCUGAGGGUUGAGGUUCCUGUUGCUCCUACUGUGGUUCAGCUGUGUAGAAAUUGUGGUAGGCAUCAUCUGGGCAAAUAUUUGAGGAGGUUAGGAGCUUUUUUGCGAUGUGGGUCAAUGGAGCACCGCAUUAGGGAUUGUCCACAGCAUUCUAAUCAGGUGCACGCUCUAGCUCCAGGUUUAGUUUAGCAUCAGCGGGUAGUUCAGUAGCCGCCUAGAGGCUGUGGUACGGCUAGGGGUGGUAACGGUAUAGGUAGAGGUCAAAGAGUAUCGGGGUAAAGGUGUUAAUCAGACUGAAGCUAGACAGUUUGCACUAGUAUAUGUGACUAGACCUCGUAAGGACAAAGAUACCGCGGAUGUUAUCACUAGUACGUUAUUCAUUCAUACUACUCCCUAUAUUGCUUUGAUAAAUAUAGUACCGACACACUCUUAUAUAGCUAGUUCUGUCUUUGUGAACUUGGGUAUGUCUGUUAAGAGCACUUUUGGAGAGAUUACUGUGGUUAGUCCACUGAGUCAGUCAGUUCGGGUUAACAGGUUUUAUAGGAAUGUACCACUGGAAUUUUAAGGGGUUGUGUUUACAGCUAAUUUGAUGGAGUUGCCAUUAAGAGAAUUUGAUUUAAUUUUGGGAAUAAACUAGCUCAUAGAACAUCGGGUCAGUUUGGACUGUGCUACUAAGAGAGUAGUUUUGAGAUUUGAGAAUGAUGUGGAAGUGAUUAUAAUUAGCGAGUGUCGGAAUUACUUAUCCAAUGUGAUCUCCGCUCUUAUGGCUGAAAAGUUGGUUCGUAAAGGAUGUGAGGCAUUUCUGGCCUAUGCGUGUGAUUCAACUUCUGUGGAUUCAUUUGUUUAGUACAUUCAAAUGGUUAAGGAGUUUCUGGAUGUCUUUCCUGAGGAGUUGUCAGGUUUGUCUCCGGAUCAGGAAGUCGAGUUCAGUAUCUAGAUUAUACCAGGUGCAGCUCCGGUGUCCAUUGCUCCCUACUACAUGGCACCGAAAUAGCUUAUGGAACUAAAAGCUCAGCUUCAGGAACUCCUCGAUCGAGGGUUCAUUUGACCUAGUGUGGCCUUAUGGGAAGCAUCGGUUCUAUUCGUAAAGAAGAAAGAUGGUACUAUGAGGAUAUGUAUAGAUUACCGUCAGCUAAAUAAAUUGACGGUAAAAAAUAAGUACCCAUUUCUGAGGAUCAAUGAAUUGUUUGACCAGUUUCGUGGGGCUUCUGUGUUCUCCAAGAUAGAUCUUCGUUUCGAUUAUCAUUAGCUUAAGGUUAAAGAGGUCAAUGUUCAUUAGAUUGCUUUUAAGACUUGUUGUGGGCACUACGAGUUCCUAGUCAUGCCAUUUGGUUUGACGAAUGAUCCGGCUACAUUCAUGGACCUUAUGAACCGAGUCUUUCAACCAUGAGAUUUUGGUAUACUCUAAUAGUGAAGAUGAUCAUGAUAAUCAUCUUAGAGUACUUCUUCAGAUACUCUGUGAGAAACAGAUUUAUGCUAAGUUAAGCAAAUGUGAGUUUUUACUUAAGGAAGUCACCUUUCUGGGUCAUGUGGCUUCUGCUGAGGAGAUCUGAAUUGAUCUUAAGAAAAUUGAGGCUGUGCUUGAGUGGAAACAACCUAAGAAUGUUUUUAAGAUCCGCAGCUUCCUUGGGUUAGUGGGUUACUAUCAGAGGUUUGUCGAGGAGUUUUCACUUAUCGCAGCUCCUCUAACUAAGUUACUGCGUAAGAACGCAUCAUUUAUCUUGACUGAUGAGCAGCAAUCGAUCUUUAAGAAACUCAAUUUUUUUUACUCAGGCUCCUGUUUUGAACAGUUUGAAUGCAAUAAGGAGUUUGUGGUUUAUAGUGACACAUCACAGGUUGGUUUGGGUUGUGUUCUGAUGCAAGAUGGUAAGGUAGUGGCUUAUGCAUCCUGACAGCUUAAGUCACAUGAAGGCAACUAUCCCACGUAUGAUUUGGAGUUAGUUACGGUGGUCUUCGCCUUAAAAAUCUGGAGGCACUAUCUGUAUGGUGAAAGGUGUAUCAUUUACACCGGUCACAAGAGCCUCAAGUAUCUCUUUACUCAGAGAGAGUUAAACCUUAGGCAAUGUAGAUGGAUUCAGUUGCUUAAGGACUACGACUACACGAUUGAGUAUCAUCUCGAUAAGGCCAAUGUGGUUGCUGAUGCUCUUAGUCGUAGAGUAAUGUCUGACUUAAGGACAAUUUUUGCUCGCCUAGGUCUAUUUGAUGAUGGGAGUCUAUUAGUCGAGUUGCAAGUUAAGCUGACUUGGAUUGAUCAAAUUUGGGAUAAACAGUUGGGGGAUGAUUCUCUGGUUCUAUGUUUCUGUCAGGUUGAGGAAGGAAGUACUACUGAUUUUGGAUUGAACAAUGAUGGAGUUUUGUGUUUCGCAGGUCAAGUCUUUGUGCCUAACGACUCUGAUUUGAGGUAAUUCAUUCUGCGGGAAGUGCAUAAUAGCCCUUAUGCUAUGCAUCCUGAAUUUUUAGCAUCAAGAAUAGGAAUAAAAAAAAGUUUUGAUAUGAAGUCUACAAAUUUCAUGCGCAUAAACAUUGUUGUUAUGGACAAUGCAUGCAUGGUGUAAACUACUAUAUAAGUAGGUGUGUAUUGCAAUAUCCGAAGCAUAACACAACCAAACCAAAGCACAUAGAAAGCUACCAUGGCUUCUUCUUAGAAAAUGGCUCAACAAACCACAAACGGAAAGCUUUGGAACUCUUCCAGCGAAGCUCUAACCUUAACUGACAAGAAAGUUUGGCAAAGCUCUCAUUAUGCGAAUUUUCCAGAAAUAAUUGAAGAUGGAGAUGCGGGCGAGUUUACCCAUGAAUCAGUGACUGAUGAUGCUGAUAUUCCAGGUUCAGUUGCUGGUCUUGUGUACAGGCGACGUGAUUGAACAAAGUGGGUUGUUGCCUGGAGCAACCCACUAGAUGAGAACAACAAGGUAUAUAUUAAAUUCAAUUCAAUCUUAUCAUUAAUUAACUAGUUAGAAUGCGUAUAUAUAAUCAUUUAAUCUAUGAUUAUUGCAUGCAUGCUGCAGGUCUAUACUGAUAUCCAAAGGCAACCUAUUCACUGUGGGCAAAUCAACACCAACAUUGAGAAAAGAGGAAAACCAAAAUUUAAAAUUACAAAGUUUGGGUACAAUGUACCUAUUAAAAUUGAUGCCGGGAGCCGUUCACCCACAAUUAAGGCAUCAUUUGAGUUAGAGGCAUAACUGCCUUUUGCUUCUUCAUCAAGCUGUGCUGGUAAUCAAGGCUAUCAAAAUUAAAUAAUAAUGUGCUGCCUGCAGCUGCAUUACCUGUACUACUAUGAUAGUAAUAAAUUUUGAUAGCCAAUAUAACCAUUAGAAAGUGUGUAGGCCUUCACAAUCAUGUCAGUGCCAUGUAUAUAUACAUGGUUGACUAUUUGUAUAAUAUUAUGGAAAAAUAAAAUAGAAUGACCUUUACUAUUUUAUCUUUUGACUCAAUUUAUACUUUAUAUUUUCUCCAACUUCCUCAUCGACCCAUCAAGUCAUCAAACUACAAACCAGGAACCAUAACAUAGAAAACUUGACAACAAAUAAACUCCCACCAGCAAACCAUGUUUCCAGCAGCACAAUAAAACAUAACUAGCAUGCCAGCAACUCGAUACAUUACCAGUAGCAGCAACAACCACCAAGUUUUAAAGCAUGCGAGAUUGGUAAAAGUCAGCAAUGGUCAAGGCAUCUGUUACACAUUCUACCUGACGCUUUGACAAUGCAGACAUCACCAAUAGCUUAAUUCAAAUCAUCAAUGUGAGCACAACUUUCUUGUAGAAUCCAUGGACAAUGGAGCUAAUAGCAACCCAAAAGUAAACAGGACAACUUUUUCGCUGAGAUAUCUAAUCUCGUGGUACAGGAUGGUUGAGGUUAAGGCUUAGAUGGUUGUGGAUUGACCUUGUUUGAUUACGGUAAGAUUGUCUUGGGAAAGCAUCUCUCGCAAUUGAGCUGGAGCCUUGGUUUCUAUAAGUCCAUUUUAAAAGCUUCUUAAAUAACAUACUGAAAAAUAGAUAAAGAAAAGAGAGUAAAAAAGGUACGCUGGGAGCCCCAGGAUAGUUAUCCCCAUAAAAACACAAGAACCAGAUCAAAACUUGCCCAAACAUGUAAAAGCAAAAGAACUACAAAACAAAAUCAAACCCACUAUUAGAACUUACAGUAUAAAAGAUCCCACAACGCCAUAAACAUUAUAUGAUCAACUGUCAUUCAGGCGUCAUCCACCUCAAAAGCCUCCUAAACAACAUACCGAAGAAAGAUAAAAGAAAAGAGUAGAGAGUUUAAAAGGUACCAUUUCAUACAGGAUAAGGUUUUCUCUCUGUAAUAGACUAAGUAAUUUAAAGUGAAAAAAAUGUAAAAUCAUUGAUGAAGUUAACAUGGAUUGUUAGAAAGUAAUGAUUUGGCAGUUAAAUUCUUUAAGAAGCUGUGAGAUUAUGGGGUGUGUUAUUUGUUUGAUGAGUUUUGCUAACUACAAUUGUUUGCUUAAUAUGAAAACAAUUAAUGAAAGUGCUACACUAAAGUGAUCAUUAUUGCUUGGCACUUGAAUAAUUGUGCAAAUGAAAACACAAAAAAUAUCAAGAUUUAUUUACGUAGUUUAGUCAGUGAGCAAUUCCACUAUCUUUAAUCACAAAUGCAAAAGGUGAUUCACACUCUAUUAGUCCCCAAGCAUAGAGAUCUCACUUUUAUCCCUAAAAAAUUAGAACUCACCUCCAAAAUAGCCAUAGCAUGCAUGGCAUAACCAGGCAGAGUGCACGCGUGCGUAGUAGGGGACUAGGGGCAAGUAGGGCUAGCGCCACGACUCACACCCCCUUGCAAGCCUUGCACAAAUGCAACAGCUUCGGUUCCUUAGUUUGGGGAAGCUUUUAUCUAUUUUUAUAUUCGUUUGAUGUGAAACUUUAAAUUUUUCAUUCGAUCAAAAUUUUGCACAUCACGACAAAGUUGGAUCUUAGAAAAAUAUUGUUCAAACGUUCGAAAACUAGAAAAGUUCAAGAUCCAAAAUAUGCAUUGUGAAAAAAUUUGUAAUCUUUUACAAAUUUUCUUUUUCUAAAAUGGAGUCAUGAAAAUUUUUAGCUGUUUAGAGUUGAUUUUAUUUCUCAUUAUGAAUUAGAUAUUGAUUUUAUUAUGUUUAAUUGAAUGUUGAUAAAAUUGAUUAGCAUGUCAUGCAUAUAUGAUGAAGCAUGUUACAGAUUAUAAAAGAAUGUCACUUGAUCUUAUUUGCAUAUUUAAUCUUUCAUAUAUGAAAUUAGAAUUUAAAACUUUACAUGUUUUUUAAAAGAUUGAGUAGGAGAAGGUCUCUAACCAUGACCCAUAGCCUCUAUUAAUGGUAUCUAAGGGAUAGUAUAAUAAUACUUUGAGCCAGUUUUAACCCAUAGCCUCUAUUAAUGGUAUCUAAGGGAUAGUAUAAUAAUACUUUGAGCCAGUUUUAAUCUGGCUGCAUCCUAUGAUAAGUAUUAUCAUGUGGAUCACAGGAUGAGAUUUUCUUUAAAAGGAUAACAAGUCAUAUAUGAUUCUUAUUAAGAUUAUCUCAUGAUAACUCGAGAAUAUAUUUAUAAUGGUUGUUAAGUUAAUUGUUAUACACUCAAAUUACAUUAGUUAAAUAGCUUCCCGCAAGGCUAUAUUUAAGUUAAAAUAAUGACAAAUGUGAAACCACUAUUAAUAACACAAGUUAUACAUGUAGUUCGGUUUCUAUAUAUUUGAGGAAUCUAAUUGAGUGAUUAAAUCUACUAUCUUUAGUCCUAAUGCAAAAAGUGAUUUAAUACCUAUUACACUCCAGUGUAGCAAACUCACUUUUUUAACUAAAGAUCUAAAUCACCCACCUCUAAGUUCCUCCUCAAAAAUUUAGUCUAAAAACUUCUUUGCAGUAUCAAUUACAAGUCUCUCCAAUCAAUUCCCCUAUAAAACUGUAGUUAAAAUAAUAUAUACAAUAUAAUAACAAAGUCCAAGGUAAUUUGUAGAUACUAGAAAAAAAUAUUCAAGAACUCUCGAUCCAAUCUUAUUUAAAGGGAUCUGAAUGCUUGAUCCAAUCCAAUCCAAUCCAAUUUAAUAUUGAAGAUAUGUUUCUCCAUUUAAACGGUCUUCAAAGAUGCUUCCAAACAUCCAAGAAAUCAUCUAAGUCAUUGCUUGACUGAUUUUGUUGAAAAGAUUAAAACUCCAAAUAAUGCAAGUCAUAUUGUCUGACGCAAUGCUAAAGCAUCUUGGAUUUUAAGUGAAUCUAUUUUCAUAACUCGGGUUUUCUUAUGCCUGUUUAUGUAAAAAAUUGAUUAAUAUUUGGAGAAAUAAAACAAAGAAAAUGAUGUAGAAUAUAAUGGAGAAGAGAAAUAAAUUUUGUAUGGAAGAGAGAAACACCCUUUCUAAUAAACUUUUCUUUUUUAUUUCACACACUCUACAAAUGCUUCAUCACAUACAACUCUUUAUAUAGGAGUUGUAAGUGACUAUUCAUCUACAUCACUUAAAUGCUAUAGGAGUUGUGACUAUUCAUCUACAUGCAUGUGUGUAACUCUUCAUCUUCAAGUCUCUUCAUAUUUCUAACUCUUCAUAAUUUAUUUUGUGCAAGAUUAAUUUAAUUAUGUGCCAACAAUGCCUCCCUUAAAUUAAACUUGCUUCGAACUCCCAACCUUUCAACAUUUUUCUUGAAGACUUGUCCACUAAGCGGCUUUGUGAAGUUAUCCGUGAUCUGAUCUUCCGUCUUGCAAUAUUUAACUUGAACAUCACCAUCAUUUACCAGUUCCCUCAAGAAGUGAUAUCGAAUGCAAAUGAGUUUAGUCCUUCUAUGAAGAACUGGAUCCUUUGUGACCGAAAUAGUAGAACUAUUGUCACAAAACAAAAUCGUUGACUUGUUCUGCUUCUGCUUAAGACUCUCCAAAAUUCCAUGUAACCAAAUCAAUUGACAUCUUGUAUAAGAUGCAAUGAUAUAUUCAGCUUCUGUAGUCGAAAGAGCCACAAAUGAUUGUUUCUUUGAGCUCCAUGAAUCUGCACCACUACCAAGGUGAAAAACAUAACCAGAAGUGCUUCUGCUAUCAUUAAUGUUUCCUUCUAAAUCACUAUUUAUAUAACCAAUGAGAUCAACUAAUGUAUUAGCUUUAUAGAAAAUUCCAUAAUCAAUGGUUCCCUUCACAUAUCUCAAUAUUCUCUUAGCAGCCUCCAAGUGAUUGGAGUAAGGUUUCUCCAUGAAUCUACUCACCAAGCUAACAACAUACACGAUGUCAGGCCUUGUCGAAGUCAGAUACAUAAACUUUCCAACCAAACUUCUGAAUAUGAUGGAAUUGACAAGCUUUCCUUCACCCUCUUUAGAUAACUUCAGACCUUUGAUGCAUGGAGUAGAGAUUGGAUUAGCAUUUUCCAUCUUGAACUUUUUUAGAACUUCCUUUGCGUAGCUCUCUUGUGAAAUAAAAAUUCCUUUCUCGGAUUGAUAAACUUCAAUGCCAAGAAAAUGAUGAAGUUCUCCCAAAUUUGUCAUCUGAAAUUCUGCCAUUAUUGAGUGCUAAAAUUCUUUCAACAUAUUCACAUCAUUUCCUGUGAAAAUAAGAUCAUUAACGUAGAUACUUAAAACCAUGAAUUUUCUUUGAGAAUUGCCUUUGAUGAGUAUGCUCAUAUGGACAUUUCUGGAAUCCACACUUUUGAAAAUAAGAAUCGAUGCGGCUGUACCAAGCUCGAGGUGAUUGCUUCAACUCAUACAAAGCUUUGUUCAACUUGUAAACUUUUUCUUCUUCUCAUUUUUUGACAAACCCUGGUGGUUGAUCAACAUAGACUUCUUCUUUGAGAACACCAUUAAAAAAUGCAGAUUUUACGUCCAUUUGGAAUAUUUUUCAAUUGUUUUGGGCGGCAAGAGAAAUAAGUAACCAAACUGUCUCAAGUCUUGAAACUGGAGCAAGUACUUCUAUAAAAUCUUCUCUUUCCUUUUACUUGCAUCCUUUUGCAACCAGUCUUGCCUUGUACUUGUUGAUAGAGCCAUUUGGAUUCAUCUUUUUCUUGUACACCCAUUUGACUCUAAUAGAAUUCUUGUGUGGCGGCAAAUCUAUGAGCUCCCAUGUAUCAUUGUUUUCAAUUGAGCAAAUCUCUUCUUUCAUGGCUUUCCUCCAUAUUUCUUCUUGAUAUGCAUCAUCAAAAGAAAUUGGAUCUUUUCCUGCAAAGAAGGCAAAGAAUACGACAUCAUUUUGCACAACUUCAUCAGUUACAUCAUAUAACUCUUGGAUACUUCUCGUUUUUCGGAUCGGGCUGAAUGAAGAAGAAUUUGAUGAAGAACUUGGGGAAGCAAGAGGAUUUGCUACUUGAGCAACAUCUUUAACAUUCUCAAUUACUACCUCUUCUUCUUCUUCUAGUUCAAAAGGAAAAAUUGGCAAAUUCUCUUUUCUAACUUCCAUAUAUUUAAACAUGGAAUUUUCAUCAAACAAAACAUCUUGACUUAUCACAAUCUUCUUUGCCAUUGGAUUGUACAACUUGUAUGCCUUACUUCUUUCACUAUAGCCAAUGAAAAUACAAUUCUCUGACUCGUUAUCCAACUUGCUUCUCAUUGCAUCUGGAAUAUGAGAGUAAGCAACACUCCCAAAUACUCUAAGAUAACGAACACUAGGCUUUGUACCAUACCAUGCCUCAUGUGGCAUGCAAUUCUCCAAGCUUCUUGUCGGCGACCUGUUGAUAAGAUAAACUGCACAAGAAACAACUUCAGCACAAAAUCUUCUUGAUAACCUCUUCUUCUUAAGAAAACAUCUAGCCAUCUCCAUAAUUGUUUUGUUCUUUCUUUCACACACACUUUUUUUGCUGAGUUGUAUGGCAGAUUGUUAUUUCAUGCUGAAUGCCACUGUCUCUGCAAUAUUUCUCAAUUUAUUUUGAAAAAUAUUCACCUCUAUGAUCUGUCCGCAAGGUGUUAAUUUUUAGCCCAGUAAAGUUCUUCACUUCUGCCUUGAAAUCUUUGAAUCUCUGGAAAGCCUCUGGUUUUUCUUUGACAUAAUACACCCAUAACUUUCUUGAGUAAUCAUCAAUGAAAGAGAUAAAGUAACAAUUACCUCCCAAAGAUGAAACUGUCAUUGGACCACAAAGAUCCGAGUGAAUAAGUUGCAAUGGUCUUCUUGCUUUCCAUGAGGAUUGAGAAGGAAAAGUAAUUCUGUGUUGCUUUCCAAGCUGACAAGCUUCACAAACAUCGUCAAGCCGAUCGAUCUUUGGUAAACCUCUGACCAUCAUCUUUCUUGAAAGUAGCUCCAAAUUUCCAUAGUUCAAAUGUUCAUAUCUAUCAUGCCAUAACUUUGAAACUCCUUUAUGAGCACUAAUAAAACAAGACGUCUUCUGAUUUUGAAGGGUGAGAGAGAAAAGAUUAUUUGAUGCUACUCCAACUCUAGCAACAACCUGAUUUUUCCUUGACAAGUAACAAGCCAUGUCACGGAAAUGAAUAUCAUGCCCCUUCUUCAAGAGAUGCCUAACGCUAAGCAGAUUAUUUUUAAGACCAGGAACAAAAUAAACUUUAGACAUUUUCUCAACCCUUCCUUACUUUGUUUUCCAACUCCAACUCACCAACACCGCUAACUUUGUAAGCUUUGCCAUCUCCUACUUUUACUUCUCCACAAUCAGAUUCAAAUAACUUUGAGAAUAAAUUUUUGUUACCUAUCAUAUGCUUGCUAGCACCACUGUCUAUGUGUAACACCCCUUACCCGAGACCAUUGCUGGAGUCGAGCACGAGGCGUCAUCUAACUUAACUUACCAAUUCGGAGCAUAAAAAAAUUGCCUUUAAAAUUAAUUUCACUGUUCACAACAAAACUGUCCACUUACGUGAUUGUCACUAAUUUAAUUAUAACUCUAGUUAAAAAACUCAUAAUUUAAAUCUGUAAAUUUUCCCUAAAACUAGACUCAUAUUCCUAUUUACCAUAAAAUUUUCAGAAUUUUUGGUUUGGUCAAUUAGUACUGUUUAUUCAUUAAAGUUUCCACUGUUUCCCUACUCUACAGUUCUGACCUCUUGGAAAUAAAAAUCAAUUAUCUAAUUGUACAGAAUUCAUAUAAUGUUAUCGUUUGUUUAUUUUGAAAAUAGACUCAUUAAGGAAUCUAUACAUAUAAAUUAUGAACCAUAAUCAUUUCUGUACAAUUUAUAAUGAUUUUUUAAAGUCAGAACAGGGGACUUCAAAAACCAUUCUAACCCUAUCUCACUAAAAUUCAAAUAUCUCAAAAUAUAAAAUUCCUUUUCUUACACCGUUUCUUUUACAUAAAAAUAGACUUGAUAAUAUUUAAUCGUAUAUCUCAUUCAGUCUCUAAUUCCAUUUCUACUAUUUUUGGUGAUUUUUUAAAUUCACGUCACUGCUGCUGUCCAAAAACUGCUUCUUUAUAUUAGAUACCAUUUAAACAUACAUAACACCGAAACAUAUUCUUUACUAACCAUUUCAAUAGCUAAUCUUAGUCAUAUCAUUUGAACAUACUCAAAAUGAUUAAGACUCUAUACAUGCCAUAGCUUUAAACAUUUUGAAAACACAUAAUAUCGAGGUGGCUGUGAUAGUGUGAUACAAGCUCCGAUGAUCCCCAAUUCGAGCAAGCUCAAAACACUCGGAUGCAAAACGACUAUUUUUGUAAAUUAGUCGAUAACCUUCUCUUUUCCCCGAUCACUUCCACUAUUUCUUCUUUCUUGAUAAUUGAGCUUAGAAAAAUCAAGAACCCUAGCUUAUAGAACAUGAAAGUUUCGGCAACAACUCUUUAAUAUUUUGAAGAAAUGGACAUUUAUUUUCACUUUAUUUUGUUUUUUAUUCACUUUUGACAAAAAUACCCUUGACCCAUUUACUUAGAUAUUUUUCUAGAAUUACCCUUUUGAGUCCAUAACACUAAUUUAUGGUCUAUUUUCCACAUAAACACUUCCAAUUUCAUGCAAUAAUUCAAUUAAGUCAUUUAAUCACUAAUUAGACACACUUUGCAUUUUUCUCAAUUUAGUCCUAAAAAAUCAAUUAGGCACUAAAUCAUUAAAAUUUCCUAUCCAUAUUUUCAUACAAUAUUUCAAUCAAUCAGUAAUUAAUAAAAAUUUAUAAAAUUAAACUAUUUCACUUCGGAUUUGUGGUUAUAAAACCACUAUUUCGAUUAGGCCCUAUUUCGGGCUAUCACACUAUGUACCAGACAUCAUCAAUCUCUCCACCAUGAGACACGGGCAACAAAGUUUCUUGCUUUUCCUCUUGAUAAUUUUGCACUAUAUUAGCUUCAUCUUUCUCUUCUUUCUUAUACCAGCAUUCACUCGCCAAAUGACUAGGUUUGUGACAAUGAUAACAUUUAAAUUAGCCACGACCUCUUCCUCUUUGAUUUCCAUUUCCAUGUCCACGUCCUCUUUGUGAACCUCUAAAAUUCUAAUUUUGGUUGGCUUCUUUCCAUCCAUUCUCCGUGCUUGCAUCUUCACCUCUUCCACGAGCAUUUCAGCCUCUUCCUUUAAAGUUUCUUCCUCUUCUACGACCACGAUCUCUCCCUCUUUGAUUUUUAAAAUCUUCUUUCUUCUCAUUUAGAGACAACUUUGACUGGAGUGCUUGAUCUAGAUUUACUUCCUUCUUCUUCUUGUUUAAUCUUUCUUCAUGGGCUUGCAACGAGCCUGUGAGUUCAUCAAUGGUCAUGGUACUCAAGUCCUUUGAUUCUUCAAUGGCUACCACAAUGUAGUCAAAUCUAGAAUCCAAAGAACGGAGGAUUUCCUCAACAACACGAAUAUCAUCCAUAGUUUCACCAUUUCUUUUUAAUUGGUUGACUAUGGACAAAACUCAUGAAUAGUAAUCAGAAACAGAUUCUGACUCUGUUUUUUGUAAUCUUUCAAACUCUCCUCGAAGAGUUUGCAACCAAACUCUUUUCACCUUUUCAUCUCCUUUGAAUGAAUUCUGUAAAAUCUCCCAUGCUUGUUUUGCCAAGGUGGCACAAGUGAUUUUUUCCCAAUCUGCUUCAUAUGAUUGAACUCUUUGAUAUAUCCAAAAUAAGGCUUGUUGAUUUUUCUUCCUUGAUUUUCUUAGACUCUCUUUUUGAGCUUGUGUUAAUCCUUCCUCCUCUUCAGCCUCAACUUCAUUAUAACCUUUUUCAACAAUCUCCCAUUCUUCUAGAUAUCCAAGAAGAGCCUUCAUUUGGAUACUCCAUUUGCCAUAAUUUUCUUUGGUUAAUUAGGGAACGGAAGAAAGAGAAAUAGAAUUGUUCAUGUCGAUCAAACUUUGCUCUGAUACCAACUUGUAGAAGAUUGAUUAAUAUUUGGAGAAAUAAAACAAAGAAAAUGAUGAAGAAUAUAAUGGAGAAGAGAAAUAAAUUUUGUAUGGAAGAGAGAAACACCCUUUCUAAUAAACUUUUCUUUUUUAUUUCACAUACUCUACAAAUGCUUCAUCACAUACAACUCUUUAUAUAGGAGUUGUAAGUGACUAUUCAUCCACAUCACUUAAAUGCUAUAGGAGUUGUGACUAUUCAUCUACAUGCAUGUGUGUAACUCUUCAUCUUCAAGUCUCUUCGCAUUUCUAACUCUUCAUAAUUUAUUUUGUGCAAGAUUAAUUUAACUAUGUGCCAACAAUUUAAGGGUUCUAAAGCAUCUUGGGUCUGGAGUAGCAUUAUUGAAGGCAAGGAUUUUCUUAAAGGAACGUUGUUAUGGAAAAUUCAAAACGGAGAAUCUGUUCACAUAUGGGAGGACAGAUGGUUGAGGGGCAAUUGAGCCUCUUUCUUAUCCUGGACAGGUGGAUGAACCAUUACCAAUACUAGCAGCUGAAAUCAUAUGUAAAGAGCGUGAAUGCUGGAAUUUGGCUCCAAUCUCAAAGUGGCUAAACAACAGAGAAAUUGCUGAAAUCCACCAAAUUCCGGUGUAUAAUACUAAGGAGCAAGACAGGUUGGUUUGGCCAUAUAAUAUACAAUAGGGCAAUAUUCUGUUAAGUCCGGUUAUAAAGAGCUGAAGAAGCAAUCUGGUAAUGUGCUUACUUCUAAACCCUCUAGUUCCUAUGUGAUUGAGGUUUGUACCUAGAAAUUUAUAUGGAAACUACAGGUCCCUAGCAAAAUAAAGAUUUUUAUUUGCAAACUGUGUCAUAAUGCUAUUCCUUCAUGGCUUAAUCUUUGGAAAAGAAAGUGUGCGCAAAACUCAACUUGCUCGAUUUUUCAAGAGGAAGUGAAUCUGUUGAACAUCUUAUUUUGGGGUAUGAUUGGGUUAGGGGCGUUUGGUUUGAAGUAUGCUCUGGAUUGAAGAUCAAAAGGGAGGAUAUCAAGUCGUUUGAUGUGAAGUAAAUUUGGGAAUAGGAGUAUGAUGGUUAAGCUUGUAUAUACUUGCUCGUACAUUUGGAAGGUUAGAUGUGAAGUGGUUCUUGGAGGGAAAACUCUGGAUGUUGGACAGACCAUUCGAAGGAUCAAAUUGUCAUCUCAGGAGUUUCUUAAAGUUCAAGAGCAAAAGGUUGAAUGUGGUCCAUUAUUUGGUAGUAAAGAAUUACUGUUGAUUAUAAUUGGAUGAAUCCUCCUGAGAAUUGGAUUAAAAUAAAUUGUGAUGCAAGCUUUAAAGAAGAAUCUGAGAUGGCUAGGAUUGGGGUAAUUGGAAGAGAUUGGACUGGUUCGAUGAUUGAUGGGAUUGAGAAAGAAUUGAAGGUUUGUUCUGCAGAAGCUGCUGAAGCAUGGCCAGUUUUAACAGGGAUUGAGCUUGCAGUGAAGAAUCGAUGGGCUAAAAUUAUUAUUGAGACUGAUUAUUGCUAAACAGAUUGAGGUUGGAGGAGCAGAGAGGAGAAGGAGCAUUGGUCCCAUUUUGCAUAAAUUUGAUAGGCUGUUGAAUGAAAUAUCAGAGUUGAAGUUUCCCUCAUUAAGCGCGAAGCUAAUAGAGCGGCUGAUUGGAUGGCUAAGGCUUCUCAAAAGGGGAUGUGCAACAAUGGUUGGACUUGACAACCACCAUCUUCUUUGGUGUUCAUUCUGGACAAGGACGAAUUUCCUACUCCCCCUUCGAACUGAUAUUCAAGCUAGUUUUACAGUGAGGUAGCUGUGGCUCUCUUGUACUUGUGAGUCAAAUUUUUUACCACAACUUUUUGUAUUUUCUGAUAUAAUGAAAGUUUUGAUGUUUUUAUGGCAGAAAAAAAAAAACUAAUUUGUAAGCUUAGAAAUAUCUCACUUCAUUACAAAGUGAAAAUAAAAUAAAGCCAAAACUAUAAGAUGUAUAUAUAUAAAAAAUAAAGGGAGAAUAUUUAAUGUAUAGGUAGGGGUUAGUGUUCAAUUGAAUCUAGUAAAAAUAUUUCAAGUUAAUCAAGUUGAUAAAUCCUAUUUUAUCAUUCUAAUUCGAUUAUUAAAUUUUUUCGAAUUGAAUUGAGUGAAAUGAAAUUCGAGCCAAGUCGAAUCGAAUCGAGUGAAAUUGUUCAGUUAAAUUAAAAAAUUAAAUAUAUCAAAUUAAAAUCUUGUUACAGUAUAAUUAAUUUAAUGUUAGAACACCUAAAAUUGAAACUAUAUAUAUUUGAAAACCUUUUCAAAGCAUAAUAAUAAUAAUAAUAAUAAUAAUAAUAAUAAUAAGAUACUUUAGUAUUAAAAACAUGAAUAAUUAAUUAACUUAUUUAUGUUUCCAAAUUUAUUAUUUUAAAAAAUUUAAAAUUUUAACUUUCUUUAUAUAAUUUUUAAAUUUUUUUAAUUUUUUUUAAAAAAUAUAAAUUUUAUAAUUUUUAUAAAUAUUUUGAAUUUUAAAAAUUGUUUUGAAUUUUUUUUUUUGUUGAGAGAGAUCAAUUUGCUCCUUUUCAAAAUUGACACGGAUUAAAGGGGUAUUUACACCAAUCUAUUAUUUGAGUUGUAAAAUUCAACUCGACUCGAACUCGAAUAACUUAAAAUUCAAUUUUUUUAAUUUUUUUCAAAUUGAAUCGAGUUUUGUUCACCCCUAACCGUAUGUGCAUAGAUUUUAUAUACCAUCAAGUGAUAAUCAAAUGACACAUUAUUACUAGUGUAAAAUAAAAAUUAUUGAAGGGUUUAAAAAUAGUAGACAUUGGUGAACAUUUUCAUAAUGUUCUUAUUAUUCAUUAGUAUUGUUGUUUGAGGUUUGAUCAAACUCUUGAGAUUGGUUAGAGGUAAAGCUUGCAGAAGAAUUGGUUCUUUAGGGAAAGGAAACAUAAUUUAAUUUUCUUAUUUCCUACAAGCGGGUUCUAUUAUGAGAAUUUCUGAAUUACUAUCAUUGCCUAUCAUUCUGCCACCAAUUUGACAUUAGAAAUGAAAUUUCUCUUAAAAAACAUGUUUCCAUAUAAAAUAAAAAAAUAGAAGAAAGAAUAUUUCAGAAUAUUAUAAAGAAAACCAAAGUAUAGGAAAUACAGUAAAUAAAAGAAAAUACAAAAAUUGAAAAAAAUAGAUAAAUGAUAAAAUGUUAUAGAUGUGAAAAAUCAUGACACAUGUCAAAAUCCCUAAUGCAAAAAUUGUAUUAAAGAUAUCAAAUAUCAAACAUAUUUUGUAAUGAUAAAAGAUAUUACCCAAGACAUUAUAUUAGGAACCCCUUUAUAUCUUUACUCAAACCUUACAAAGUAACAAAUCACAAAGUUAAAAAUCUUAACUUAUUAACAUUUUUAUUCAUUACAAAUCAAUAAUUUAAUUAAUCAUAAAUAGAACAAUUUUUUUUAAAGAAGAAAUAUGUUUUUUUAAAAAAUUAAAUGAAAAAUUAGAAAAAAACAGAAGUUCAAAGGAGAAUAAAUCAAAUCAAAGAAGAAAUCGAGUCAACAAUAUGCUCUGACAUCUCUAAUGCCUUUUGGAAUAGGAAAAAACAUGAAGUAACAUUACCAUAUGAAAAUGAUUUUGUUGAAAGACAAAUCCUAACAAAAGUAAAGCCAAUAAAAAUGAAUAAAGAGAUGGAAACUUUUGUUAAAAAGAAAGACAAGAUUUUCUUAAUAAAAAAUUAAUAAAAAAAGUAACUUUUCUUACAGUUGUUCAGCAUUUUAUGUGAUGAAAAAUGCAGAACUUGAAAGAGGAACACUAGUAUUAGUCAUUAAUUAUAAACCUCUCAAUCAAUGUAGAAAGGAAUUAUUAUUACUAACAUAAAAAAAAAUCAAAUUCAAAACUUGACACCCAAAAAAAUUUGGAAUCUAAAAUCCGAAAGAUCAAUAAAAAUUAUAGCUAAUAUUUAAUUAUGUUUAACUAAAAAAUAAAGUUAAAUGUAUUUAUUUUCAAGUCUUUCAAUACAUUUUAUUUUAUACCAAUAAUGAUCUUUCAUAUUAUUAACUGAUGGUGCAUGAAACCUAAACACUGACAAUGCAUCAAAUAUUAUCUCAUAUAUAAAGUUAACAACUAUAUAUUGAAUUCAUGGUUGAAUAAGAAUAUAAAAUUAGGAGACAGAUCCCUAUUUUUUGUAGAGGUAACUUCAAUGUUGAAAUUGUUACUUAUAUGUUUCUACGUGUUUUUUUUUCAUAAUAAUUUAUUUGACCUUUCAACUUUACAAAAAGAAAUCAUUUUAAGUUUCUACUUAAAUUUUUGUUUCUUUUAUCUUUUAAACUUGUAUUGUUUGUUAACGUCAAUCCACGUGAACUGACACGUAUUUACUACAUUAGCAAUUGAUUAAUUUUUAAAAGAUUAAAAAUAUAUUAUAUACCUUUUUAAUAAUUUUAAAUUUUUAAAAUUUGAAAGAUUAAUUAAUUGUUGAUAUGUCAGUCACGUUUGUGUGAUAUCAGUAAAAUUAACAAAUAUUAACUUUUAUUUUAUUUUAGUAUAAAUUUAAAGAUUAAAAAGGGAAGAAAAAUUAAAUAAAAAAUAUUAUUAUGCGUUUGAGAUAAAUGAUGAGGCAAAGUACAACAAAGGAGUAACAUCAGACAAAGCCAAACACCAGAAUCACAUCAGAAGAGUGCAGAAGAACCUCUAGUGGUGCAAUCAAUUAUCAAUUAGAUAGCCGUGUUUAUUAGUUAAUAUAUUAAUGUAAAAACAAAACUUUCCAUUCAAGCAUAUUUUUUAAUAUAACAAAAUUCAGCUCCAUACUAAAAGUCUCAUUGCUUUAAUACCUUAUCCUUUCAGGAUCUCAAAUACAAAGUUUUAUUCCCUUUUUUUCCAACAAAAAUUUAUGCCUAAUACACAAAUCACUAUUUUUUCAAAGGGAUUCAAAGUUUAAUGAAAAAAUGGGUUGAUGUUACAUUUAAAGUUAUUUAAUUAUUAAUACGAAUACAGUAUCAAUAUAAAAAAUAUUUCAAACAUAUUAUUAACAUCUCAAAAUUUAAUAUGAAUUUCAUGUGAUAGCUUGAUGGUUAAGGGUGUUCAUCAUUCCAGUUGUGACCUGAGUUUAAAUCACACUAGUUAUAUGUAUACUUAUGCUUUGGUGACUAUUAGGUUACCAGGAUAAUGAUGUACAUGGAGUUUUGUAAUUACUAGCAACUGACACUAGUUAGUAAAAGAAAAUUAUUUCAAUAAUUCUUAAAAAUAUAUAAUUAAGAUUCAAGUAUAUUUUGGAAAUUUUUAAUUUAGAGAUGACUUUUAUGUACUAAUUUUUUUUAUGUAAUACAUCCGUUGAAAUUAUUUAUUUAAUUAUGUGAUGUGAGUUUAGUUUUAGUCCCCAACAAUUAUAUUUUAAAUACACUAAAUUAUUAGUAAAUUUAUGUUUUAGUUAUUUAAUUUUAAAAAAUUACAAAAUGGUCAUUGAACUAUUUGAAAGUUUUUAUUGAAGUCAUUAGGCUAUUAAGGUUUUACUUUAAAGUCUUGCUAGCAAGCUUCAAGCAAUGAUUCGAUCCAAGUCGAUUUGACUAUCAAUGUCAAUGAUGGGAGAAAAAUUUUGUUUGAAUUUUGGUUCGCAGAUUCAUGAGUUUAAAAGUUAUUUCUUGAAAAAAAGGUGAAUUGUAGAAGAGAAAGGGAAUGAGAGCUUUCGAUAGAUACAGGUGGUGCAAAUAGAGAAGGCCAUACAAUAAUUUUAAUAGCUCAGUGACUUAAAUGAAAAUUUUUGAAUAGUUUAAUGAUCAAUUUGUAACUUUUUUUUUUUAAAUUGAGUAACGAAACAUAAACUUACUAAUAGUUUAGAUCACAAUGGAAGUAGUUUACCUUUAUAUUGUUAAUUUAUUAUACAAAAUUUAUUUAAUUUAAAAAUAAUACUUUAUCAAAAAAAUCCAAAUAGGUUAAAAAUAUUUCUUUAAUUGAAAAGAAUUUGUACUUAGAAGUGAAAAGACACAUCAAGAAUAUGAAUAAAGAAAAGGAAAAGGAAUAUAAAAAAGUUUUGAUGUGAAUGAAGUCUACUAAUUUCAUGCGCAUAAACGUCCUUAUUAUGGACAAUGCAUGCAUGGUGUAAACUAGUAUAUAAGUAGGUGUGUAUUGCAAUAUUUGAAGCAUAACACAACCAAAACAAGCUUUAGCUAACCAAAGCACAUACAAAGCUACCAUGGCUAAUUUUCAAAUGAAAAAAGUUCAACAAUGCACACACGGCAAGCUGUGGAACUCUUCCAGCGAAGCUCUAACCUUGACCGACAAGAAAGUUUGGCAAGGCUCUCAUUAUGCGGAUUUCCCAGAAAUAAUUGAAGAUGGGGAUGCGAGUGAGUUUACACAUGAAUCAGUGACUGAUGAUGCUGAUAUUCAUGGUUCAGUUGCUGGUCUUGUGUACAGGCGACGUGAUGGAACUAAGUGGAUUGUUGCCUGGAGCAACCCACAAGCUGAGAACAGCAAGGUAUAUAUUGCAUUCAAUUCAAUCUUACCAUUAAUUAACUAAUUAGAAUGUGUAUAAAUAAUCAUUUAAUUUAUGAUUCAUUUCAUGCAUGUUGCAGGUCUAUACUGAUAUCCAGAGACAACCUGUUCACUGGGGGCAAAUCAAAACCAACCUUGAGAAAAGAGGAAAACCAAAAUUUAAAGUUACAAAGUUUGGUUACAAUGCAUCUAUUGAAAUUGAUCCCGUGAGUCGUUCACCCACAAUGAAGGCAUCAUUUGAGUUAGAGGCAUAACUGCCUUAUCGUCUUCAUCAAGCUGUGGUGGUAAUUAAGGCUAUCAAAAUUAAAUAAUAGUGUGAUGCUUGCUGCUGCAUUACCUGUACUACUAUUAUAGUAAAAAGAUUUGAUAGCCAGUAGAACCAUUAGAAAGUGUGUAGGCCUUCACAAUCAUGUCAGUGCCAUGUAUAUGUACAUGGUUGACUAUUUGUGUAAUAUUAUCGAAAAAUAAAACAAAAUGGCCUUUACUAUUUUAUCUUUAGACUAAAUUUAUACUCUAUGUUUUCUCCAACUUCUGCAUCCAUCCAUCGAAUCAUCAAACAACAAACCAGGAACCAUAACAUAGAAAAUCUGACAACAAAUAAACUCCCAACAACAAACCAUGUUUCCAACAGCACAAUGAAACAUAACUAGUAUCCCAGCAACUCGAUACAUAACCAGUAGCAGCAACUACCACCAAGUUUUAAAACAUGCUGGAUUGCUAAAAGUCAGCAAUGGUCAAGCCAUCUGUUAUCCAUUCUACCUUACGCUUUGACAAUACAGACAUCACCAAUAGCUUAAACCAAAUCAUCAAUGUCAACACAACUUUCUUGUAGAAUCCAUGGCCAAUGGAGCUAAUAGCAACCCAAAAGACAACAGGACAACUUUUUCGAUGAGAUAUUUAAUCUUCAUGGUUGAGUUCUUUGAUUACGGUAAGAUUGUAUUGGGAAAGCGUCUCUCGUGAUUGAGCGGAAGCCUUGGUUUCUAUAAGUGCAUCAAUUUUAAUUUAUUUGUAAUAUUCUCCACUAGAAUUAUACUAUUUAAUUAUAUUAUUUAAUUUUUUUAUGGAUUUAGGGAAAUAUUGGGAGAAAAAGAGAUUACAACUUAUUUUUGGGAAAAUGUAGUUUAGACUUUCAACAUCAUGCUGCUAUAAUAUUUUAUAAACUAUAAAAUUUUAGUUUGGAUUCAUAACAUACCAUUCAUAUGAAAUUAGAAAUUCUAAUUAAAGUUAUUUCACAAUUUGAACUCAAAAAAAAGUCGAAAAAGUGUCUAGAAAUGGCAUGACAGUGCUAUGCGAAAAUUUACCAAUAAAUGUAGAAAAAUUGUUUUGCUUUGUUGAAUUGAAGGCAGUUUCUUUUUUUCAUUAUGUAAUUUUUAUCGUAUAAAUAGGCAUUAUUAUGUUAUAAUGUAAAGAUAGCGGCUCUUAGUAUAUUUUUGCUUUUGUGUUAACUUUAAUUUAUGGUUUGUUAUACUAAUUUUUUAGUUUAAGGGAUUUCGAAGCUUAAUUUUAAAAGUUUAUGAGAUUUAAUUAGUUUUAUCUUUUUCUUUGUUCUUUAGUAUUUACAUGUCUUUUGAUUUAAGUGCAAAUAUUUAGGUUUUUUUAAAUAUAAGACUCAUAUUUGAUAACUUAGAAUAUUUGCCUUGUCAAUAAAAAAAUCAGUAAUUGUUUAAUUCAUUUUAAUGCUUGUGACAAAUACCAUUACUGCAUAUGCAAUCAAUGUUGUGUGGGCAUGCGAACUAGCUUAAAUAAAUUCUAUUUUGAUGUGUUUGUUGGUUAAAAUUAAGUUUAUCUUGUUCGUAAUUUUAUCAGUAAACUAAAUUCUAAGCGUGAAAUUAUAGGAUUGUUCAUUGAUAAGGAGAAUAAUUUCAAUGAGCUUUCUCUUGGUUAUCGAUAAGGUAAAUGAGAGACUGAUUGCUAAGCGUGACAUUAACAACUAUAAUUAAUUUAUUAAAGAACACUGAAAUUAUAUUUGCAUCAAUGAUUAAACUUGUGAAUCAAACAUAUAUUUUACAUUUGGCUAUAGCUUUAUCUCAUUGGUUUUUCUUCAAUUUUAAUUAUUACCUUCUUGGUUGACAUUUAAAUUUAAUUUUAGUAUUUUAUUUUCUAAACCCCCAUCAUAUUUACUUUCCUUGUUUUUAUUUAAGAAAUAAAAUUAUUAUUGAUCUCUAUGAAUACGACUCUACUCAUUGCUAUGUACUAAAUUUGUAUUUCUUUAAUAGAAUUUUAUUUUUGUAGGUCUCGAAAACUGUACAAAUUUUGGCCUUUUUGUCGAGGAUUAAUGUUAAUAAUUUUGUCUCCCUAUUGUUUUUAAUUUAAUUUAAUUUUUGUUCCUUUUUAUGCUUCGAUCUUUUUUUUGCUUAACCAUAAAAUAUAUCUAUUAAAAUUGAAAUUUUGAUCUUCUCGUGCAGGUGAACUCUAAUACAAUCUUGAGAUUGAGAAAAUUGCUUGAAGACUAAGGAAGGCAGUUCAAGAGAGAACUAACUAGUUGUCUUCAUUUACCAAAUCAAAAGGAGAAGAACCAAUGGCUUGUUUAGAACCAACAACGAGAGAGUUAGCUACGUUGAAUUUGAAGCAACAAUCUUUGUGCAUCAAAUAUCCUAAAUUAGAGGUAUCAUUUGAAUUAAAAUCUGGACUAGUUCAUUUAUUGUCUACUUUUCGUGUCAAGCAAAUGAAUAUCUUCAUAAGCACUUGAAGGACUUUCAUGUACUGUGUUCUACUAUAAGACGACAAUGAGUGAUCAAAGAGGAAACCAAACUAAGAGCCUUACCCUCUUCACUAGCCGACAAGGUGAAGAAUUGGCUAUUUUAUUUACCUCCUGGAUCUAUAACAACAUGGAUUGACAUAAUAAGAUUAUUUUUGAUAAUUUUUUUUUUCUACUUGACGUGCUACUUAUAUAAAAAAAAAUUUGUGGCAUCAAGUAGAAAAAUAUGAAGACUUGUAAAAAUGGAAUGUCGAUAAUGACAAUAUAUCACAAAGAAAAGAGAAAUAAAAAUAAAGAACACACAAAUUUUUACAUGGAAACCCUUUCGAGGAAAAAACCACGGGCAGAGGAGAAGAAAAUUCACUAUGUCGAAUUCAAAUAAUUGCAAGAGGAGUAGACUAUGUCUAUUUAUAGGCUUGUAAAACCAUAUUCUAAUAGGAGUGUAGUAAGAUUGAAACACCUUAUUCUAAUCAAUAUCAAAUAGAUGGAGUUUAAUAAGGUUUAAAAAACCUUAUUCUAAAAUAAAAUAAAAGAAGUGUAGUUCUAUAGGGAUUUUACUUUUAUUUUAUUUUACUGUAUUUUAUUUAAAUAAGGAUUCAGGUCACCUAAUUCUAACAAUCUCCACCUUGACACGAAUUCUCAAUGAACAAUUUCUUCAUCGCGAACUCUCAACGAACAAGUUCUCCACCUCUUCCAUAAAACCCCUUAAGGGUUUAACUUCAACAAUGAACACCAAUCAAGUCUAAGCACUGCUCAAACUUGGUUAUAGGAAGUGACUUAGUCAUCAUGUCUGCAGGAUUUUCAUUAGUAGUAAUUUUGCUCAGAACAAUAUCACCAUGAGCAAUAAUAUCAUGAACAAAAUGAUACCGAACAUCAAUGUGUUUUGUUCUCUCAUUAAACAUUUGAUCUUUUGUAAGGAAGAUGACACUCUGACUGUCUCAAAAUACUGUAUUGAUUUGAAGGUCUUCAUUGAGUUCAUUAAAGAUUCCCUUCAACUAAAUAACUUUUUUACAAGCCUCAGUAAUUGCCGUGUACUCAGCUUCAGUGGUAGACAAAGCAACUGUAGUUUGCAAAGUGGCUUUCCAAUUGAUUGCACAACCCCCGAUUGUAAAGACAUAACCUGUGAGAGAUCUUCUUCUAUCAAGGUCUCCAGCAAAAUCAGCAUCAACAUACCCAAUGACUCCAUCUCUAGUUCUUCCAAACUAUAAGCAAACAUCAGUAGUACCUCGUAAGUAUCUUAAAAUCCACUAAACUACUUUCCAAUGUUCUUUACCGAGAUUCGCCAUGUAUCUGCUAACUGCACUGACUGCAUAGGAAAAAUCUAUAUGUAAACAAACCAUAGCAUAAAUGAGAGAUCCCACUGCACUAGAGUAUGGAACAUGUGACAUGUACUCAAUCUCAUCAUCUAAUUGUUAAGACAAAGCCGAUGAAAGUCUGAAAUGGGCUGCUAAAGGAGUACUAACAGGUUUAGCAUUCUGCAUAUUGAAUCUGUAAAGAACUUUCUUAAUGUACCCAUUCUGAAUUAGGUACAAUUUACUUGUUUUUCUAUCUCUGAGAAUCUCCAUAUCAAGUAUCUUCUUUGCUGGUCCCAAAUCUUUCAUCUUAAAUUCUUCACUUAGUUGGACUUUGACAUUUCUUAUCUCUCCUUUAUAUUUUGUUGCUAUCAAUGUCAUCAACAUAAAGGAGUAGAUACACAAAAGAACCAUCACUGUUUUCUUUAAACUAAACACAACUGUCAAAGCUACUUCUUUUAAAAUCAUGAGAAGUCAUAAAGGAAUCAAACCUCUUGUACCAUUGUCUUGGUGACUAUUUCAAAUCGUAAAGGGAUUUUUUAGCAAGCAAACAUAGUCCUCUUUUUUUUGAGACAGUAAAACCCUCUGGUUGUUGCAUGUAAAUAUCCUCCUUAAGUUCUCCAUGCAAAAAUACAGUUUUUACAUCUUACUACUCAAGCUCCAAAUCAUGCAUGGCCACAAUACCAAGCAAAGCUCGAAUCGAACUAUGCUUCACAACUGGGGAGAAAAAAUCUGUGAAGUCCACUCCUGAAAUUUGACUAUAACCCUUUGUAACAAUCCUUACUUUAUAUUUGGGUUCUUCAACUCUUGGAGUCCCUUCUUUUUUUUAAACACCUAUUUACAGCGAACAACCUUUUUACCUUCAGGAAAUUUCACAAGAUUUCAUGUUUUGUUUUUAUGGAGUGAUUCCAUAUCCACUUGCAUAGCAAACAUCCACCGUUCUGAGUCUUCACAGCUAACCACAUCAGAAUAAUUAGAUGGUUCUUGGUUUGCAUAUAUAUCUUCAGCCACAUUUAAAGCAGAAGCAACUAGAUCAACCUUGACAUACUUCUUUGGAGGUUUAAUUUCUCUUCUAGUUCUAUUUUUGGCGAUAGAGUAUUGUGGUGAAGAAGCAACUCUAUUUUGAAUUUUUGUAUUGGCUUGAGGAGUCGACUCUAUUGUAGAUUCUGGAUUAAUUUGAUUCUCCACCUGCUUUUGAUUUUCUUUAUUUGAAGAGUCCUUAAGAGAUAAGUUAGGUAGCAUAGUAGUUUCAUCAAAAACAACAUCUCUGCUAAUCACAACUUUUCUAUUUUCAAGACACCAUAACUUAUACCCUUUUACACUUGCUUUAUAACCAAGAAAAACACAUUUAAUGUAUCUCGGUUCUAAUUUUCCAUUAUCAACAUAAGCAUACACAGGACACUCAAAGAUCUUUAAAUCAGAAUAGUUAGUAGGAUUAUCAGACCAUAUCUCUUGUGGAGUCUUUCUCUCAAUGGAAACAGAUGGAGAUCGGUUGAUCAAAAAACAUGCAGUAGAGGCUACUUUGGCCCAAAAUGACUUUGGUAAGUUGGCAGUUGACAACAUAUAUCGGACCUUCUCCAUGACCGUUCUGUUCAUUCGUUCUGCAACUCCAUUUUGCAGUAAAGUAUGACGAACUGUCAAGUGUCUCACGAUCCCUUCUGACUUGCACAGUUUAUUAAACUCGUUAGAAUAGAACUCUAAGCCAUUGUCUGUACGAAGGUAUUGUAUUUUUUUCAGUCUAUUUUUUAAUCAUAUUUUUCCAAGACUUAAAUGCUGAAAACACAUCGCUUUUCUGCUUUAGGAAGAACGCCUAAACUUUUCUGGAAAGAUCAUCAAUAAAAGUUAGCAUAUAAUUAGCUCCACCCCUCGAAGACACUCUAGAAGGCUCCACAGAUCAGAAUGAAUAUACUCCAAUGUUCUCUUCCUGUUAUGGAUUCCACUGGUGUAUCGAACUCUCUUUUUCUUCCCAAAAGUAUAGUGCUCACAGAAUUUCAGUUUGCAAAUUCCUUGCCCAUCAAGAAGUCCUCUUUUGCUCAAUUCUACCAUGUGAUUCUCACUCAUAUGCCCUAGGCACAUAUGCCAAAGUUUAGUAAUAUCAUCUGUCGAAACCCUUUUUUUAUGUUUGAAAAAUGGGAAUCGAUUUUUAAAAUGGAAAUGGAGUCGCCACCGACCUUUAUUGAAGGUGUGAUCAGAUCACCUUGAAAACGAUUUUAGGUCUACAGAUUUUGAGAAAAUAGGUUCGGGAGUCGGUUACGCACGAGGAAAGGUUAGCACCCUCGUGACGCCCAAAAAUUGGUACUGAAUUGAUUACUUAAUGUCUUAGUAUUGAAAUUCUGGAAAGAUUCCAAAAUACGAUCCUUCGAAGUGAAAAUUUGAAUAAACCAAAUUGAAUGAUAAGACGCACUCAUUUUGAAGAGAUAAAUUGUCACACUCAGUGAGUUAGGGUGUAACAAUUCAAUCGUCAAAAUUAAGUAUGUCCUUUUAAUUUUUAAAAUUUAAAAUUCAUGCAUUUUGAGAAGGUUAUUUUGUCAUUUAGGUCGAACGAGAAAUCAGAAUUCAGUAAGUUAGGGUUCAAUUUCUCGAAAUUUCUAAACACCAAAUAUUGCCUUUAUUUUAAAAUCGAGAUAACAAAAUGCCAUAUCCAGUAAGUUAGGAUCCAACAUUUUGAAGUCUCAAAACUUUAUUUUAAAGAUUGUAUGGUUUUAAUAAAAUAAACAAUUGGCUAUCUAAAUUCAUCAAGAAGAAUUGAAACCCAAUAAGUUAGGGCACAAUUCUCUCGAGAAUUAUGAACACCAAGCCCUUUUUUUAAAACUUAUGAAAUAAAAGGAUUGUAGUGCUUUAAUAAAAUGCAAUUCUUACAAAUGUAACAUGAUUGAAUGGUGAUGUAUGACGUAAAAUAUAAUAUAUAAUCCAAACACAUACUAAAGAAUAAUGAAUAAAUAAUAAAUUAAUACUGACAAACUUAGCAACAAUAAUCUCAAGUGUACAUUAUGCUAAUAUCAAUAUCAACGUUCAAAAGCUAAUAAAAAACAAGCCGAUUAAUGCAAAUGCAAACCAAAUGUACAAGUUUUGAAAUAGCUAAAAAAUGGCAUGAAAGAAAUGGAAAUUGUAAAUCAAUAAAGUAUAUGUUCAAAAAUUUAAAAUGAAUAACAUGUAGAAAAGUUUGAAAUAGAUUAAGAAAUAGAUUUUACAUGAAUUGUAAUAUGCAAAUGAGUUUUAAAGUAAAUAUGGCAUGAGUAGAAAACUAAAAUUUAUAAUAUACAAAACAAUACAUAUAUUAAUUUAAAUAAAUGAUACCUUUUAAAUGAAGAGCUUAAUAAUAAUAAUAAUAAUGAUGAUGAUGAUGAAAUAUAUACAUAAUAAUAAUACAAAAAGGUUGAAAUAAACAAAGCAUGUAAGUAGGGUUUAAACAAAAUAAAUUAUAAAAGUAACUUAUCUAAAAGAAAGCUAAAAGACAAUAAUUAUAAUAAUAGGAAAUCAAUAAUAUGUUCCUAAAAUAAAAAAAAUGAAAAUUACGUAUAUAUGAUAGUAUGGUAUGAAAGUAUGAUUGUAACUUUUAGAAUAUAGGAAUAUAAAAGAGAAUUUAAAAAUAAAGAUUAUAAAAACUAUAGCAAUAGAAUAUACAAAUCAUUUUAAGUUAAUCAUAAAAAAUAAAUGUUAAACUUAAGUAAUAAUUGGUGAAAACUUAAAAUUAUUGUAUAUAAUAAAUUUAAAAAUCAACCACAAGAUGAAUUUAAAUAAUGGUAAUGAUAUUGGUGAUAAAUUAAAAAUAAUAUUAAGCUAAAUCAUAUAGAAAUAUUAGAUUUAAAACUAGGUACAAAAAAUGAAAUAAUAUACAUUCAAUCAAAUAAAAUAAACCCUAAACUAAAAUAAAUUGGAUUAAAAACUAGAAUGGAGGAAAAAUUCGUGAAUAAAAUAGAAUAAAGGAUCCAAUUACGAAGCGUGAAUAACUCAGAGGGAUUGAAUGUGCAAAUUUCCCUUAGAAGCAAAAUCGCGCGGAUCUGAGAUUGGAUCGGGUCAGUGCACGGGUUUGAGCCUCUAAAUGACGUCGUAUCAUGGCCACUACUCAGGCUUUGAAUGACGUCGUUUCUUUCGUCAAAUAAAGGCUAAAUUAAGCCUAAAAUCAACAGAUAUUUGAAACUCGCAAAUCAACCCUAAAAAAAACCUAAUCUCUUCCCCUCCGUGCGCCGUUUCAGACUCAACCACUCAAAGGCUCUCCGAUCCCAUGCCCGAUCUCCAAUUACGACGAAGAGGACGAGGAUUCAGCUUCGCAAUAAAGGUAAAAUCCUUCGCCCUCCUUUCGUUUCCCUUUCUCAAACAAUAAAUAAAAAGAAAAGAAAAAAAAGAAUCGAAAAAUGAUAAAAAAUGAGAGAAAAAAAACUUGAAGUCACCUUCAAAGUCUGAUUUCUUUCCUUUCCUUAAUUCAUUUUUCUAUUUCAGUGUGCGUAAAACUUUACAGUGCUCAAAUGGCAUUUUUAUAACCGAAAUCCGUAAAAAUAAAAAUAAGAUCAAUCAAAAAAUAUAUAUUUUUUACAUUUUCAUUUACUGCUCUCUUAUUUGAUGCGUUGCCUUUUCCUUGCUGUCAUUUUCCCUUGCUUUCUCUGCUAGUUUGUUACGUCUGUUACAAGUGCCAGCUGGAAUGGAGGCCUGGUUCGCAUGCGAGCAACGAGCAUGGUGGUUGCGUAGCAUGCGCGAAGGCUACCUGGGGAGAACGGCGCUAGAAGCUGUUGCUAUUUAGUGUUUUCUAUUUUUCUUGCUUUUGGGUAUUAGGUUUGAAUUGGGUCUGUAAUUGGUUAUUGGGCAGGGGUGUAUUGGGUUUAUGGUUUAUUUUAUUGGACUAUUAUUGUACAUUUUAUUUUAUUUUUAUUUUUAUUUAGUUUUAAUAAGUCCGGGUAAAAUUGAUUAUUACAGCUGCCCCUCUUUGCUCGUUAUCGUGUAACGGGAACGAAGCAAAGACUUUAAAAAUGACCAAUUUUGCUCGGUCGUGCUGGACCUUGGUGCUUGUCCUCUUUAAGUAGCCUAAUUCCAUCCUACUGCAUUUUCAGAGGUAUAGGAAUUGGUGUCUCGAUCAAUUCCACCGCAACGUCGGGGAGAUAGGGUUUGUAACUCGUAACUUUAAUUUGCUUAACUGUGAUUUUGGGGAAGCAAGAUUCACCAUCGUAGCUUUAAUCUGUUCUACUACACCGCUAGGGAAGUAAGAUUCGUUAUCCUGAGUCUGCCCCACUGUAAUCUUUAGGAGGAUAAGAUCUGCUUACUCAGUCUGCUUCGCUGCAACCUCGGGGAGAUAAGAUUUAUUUUAAUCCACUCCACUGCAACUUCAGGGAGAUAGGACUACUGGCUUCAAUCUGCUCCACUACUACUUAGGGAGAUAAGAUCUUCCAUCUUCGAUCUGCUCCACUAUUGCUUAGGGAGAUAAGAUCUGUUUCUUAUGUCUGCUCCGCUGCAACCUCAGGGAGAUAAGACCUGAUGCGAUCUACUCUACAGCAACUUCAGAGAGAUAAGAUCUGUUAUUUUAAUCCGCUCCACUGCCACCUCAGGGAGAUAGGAUUAGUGGCUUCAAUUUACUCCACUGUAAACUCAGGGAGGUAAAAUCCACCAUCUUCGAUCUGCUCGACUACUGUUAGGGAGAUAAGACCCUUUCUUCGGUCUGCUCUGCUGCAACCUCAAGGAGAUAAGACCUGAUGCGAUCUACUUUACUGUAACUUCAGAGAGAUAAGAUCUGUAAUUUUUUUUCAACCUACUCCACUGCUGCUUAGGGAGACAAGACUGGGGUCUUCAAUUUGCUCUACUAUUGCUUAGGGAGAUAAGAUUUGUAAUUUUUCAAUCUAUUCCACUACUGACCAGGGAGAUAGAAUCAACAAUCUUCAACCUAUUCCACUACUGACCAGGGAGAUAGGACCUACAAUCUUCAAUCUAUUCCACUGCUGACCAGGGAGAUAGGACUAGUAUCUUCGAUCUGAUUCGCUGUUAGUAUGGGAAGGCAAGAUCUGUUAUUUUCAACCUGCUCCGCUGUAACCUAGGGAGGCAAGGCUGGUGUCUUUGAUCUACUUCGCUGUCAGUGCAGGAAGGCAAGAUCUGAUCUCUUCACUGAUCUAUUCUCUGGGGAAUAUGACAUGUAUAAUUAACCUAAUUAUGCCUAAUGAUUAGGAUGGCAUGAUCAAAAUGAAUCAAAUGCUCCUAACUAGACAUGUGUGAAUGGUGUUUGCAUGAAUGCAACAUUUUAUUUUUCUAGAGAAUGAUCCCGCUUAGGUUGUCAUUACUCGAAGUUUAUUAAGGCUUUAUCACUGACGUGCUACAUCACCUUCUUGCUUGGCUAGCUUUUCUGAAGAAACAUUUAGUCAAGUUGCCCCUACUGUAAACCUCAAAGUUCAAUCCAUUGGGGUGCAAAAUCUGUAUCAUCAUUCUCCCAUUGUAACCCAAGGGUAGGAAUAUAUGGCUUUUCCUCAAUCCUUUCCCAUCACAAUUCAAGGAUACAGGAUCUAAAUCUUUCUGGUCCCUUACACCAUUCCCAGGGUGUCGUACCAAAGUCUCAUGCUUAAAUGAAGGCAUUCUUUUUCGAGGAAACCUCUUCUUAUUGCCUGGUGAUCAAUGCUUCCUUGUUUAUUUAAGCUUUGUCACCAACUUGACAUCUUGUCAUUUUGUUCAAUCAAUGUUUUUGACAAAAUCCAAAGAGAAAGUCCUAAUUUAGACUCUUCAUUAUCAAAUUUCCAACCUUUAAACUUGGUGGGUUUUAAACAAUAGUCAUGUUUUAGGUUCCUGUAUUAUUUAGAAAAUUCUAGAGUAAUAUGCAAAACUUCCCUUGUGAAAAUUUUAUUAGUCCAUUAAUCAUUAUUCCAAAGCAAUAUGCUUGCAAAAAUAUCAUAACAAUGGAUGAGAAUACAAUUGGUUCUGAGCAUAGCUCGAAAGGAAUAUAUUAUCAAAAAUAGUAAAUAAGGAUAACAAAGAAAUUAAUUGGGAAUGUGUAUCUUGGAAAAGAAUGAAGUAUUCCAAGAACAAAAAAUUCAAUUUAAAUGGUGUGAAAAUUGGGUGCCCAGAUAUCGUAGCUUAAACUUCUCUGUAGAAACUUUCUGAAGACAAUUCUAAGUUUGACAUGUGUUUAGGAGAUCUACAGUACUUUGUAGAUGCCCCAAGAUGUCGCCUAUCCUUUCCUGUUGGUUCAAGUAUAGCAAGAUCAUCAUAUGCCCUAAUCUGAUCAAAAUUUAAGUUGCUUUGAUCACCUCAUCCCCAUUCUGAUCAAUAUUUGAGCAACCCUUUUCGGGUUUUCAACUCAAAUCCCUUUUGGUCACAAGAUGCCCUUUGCGGGUUUUCACCUUGGCCUCUCCAUUUUUUUUCAUUUUUUUUGUAUUUUUUGGACUUAAAGCGCCCUUUACGAGUUUUCACUUUGGUGCUUUUUUUAGGAAUCAAGGCGCCCUUUGCGGGUUUUCACCUUGGUCGCUUCUCCUUCUUCAGGUGAAGUAAUACUUGACUAAAUCUGAGUUUGCAGGAUUUGGCAAGUUUUUAUCAUCUAUCCUACUCAAGAUCAAAGCUUCUCCGGAAAAGGCCUUUGGUAUCUAUUUUCCUCUAAAAUCCUUUUGUGCAGGAAGGAUCCUUCUCAAUAUUAGGUUCCUUUUAUGGAAUUCCCUGAGUGAACCUUUUGGUUGUAGGCUCGCAUCAUUCGCCUUUGAUACAUCUGACUGUGCUGAAUAGCUUUUAGCCUUUUUCCUUUUGAUUAGAUUAGAUCCAUUCUGCUUCAUCUAACUCAUAGCUUAACUAAUAUCUAGAAAAAAAGAAUUUCUACUUCAAUAGGUAAAACUACUUCUAUCCCGUAAACCAAAGAGAAAGGUGUUGCCCCGGUGGAAGUCUUGAUAGAUGUUCGACAAGUAAGGAGGGAAAAUGGUAAUUUCUCAUGCCAACCCUUGUAGGCCUCAGUCACUUUUCCACAAUUCAUUUUUUGGGUGAUACAGUGACGAACUGUGGUGUCUGAUUUUGAAUUGAUUACAAACCUCAGCUAUCAUGCUAUCAUUCAAGUUCAAUGCAUUUUCUAAUACCAUCUUCUCUGGAAUUCUAUAUCGGCAUAUGAUGACGUUGAUGCAUGAAGCAGCCUCUAUCCAUUUGAUGAAGUAAUUAAUGAUCUCAAUAGUGAAGCAAUUCCCAAUAGAAGCCUUCGAUAAUGAUGACGUCUAGGCCCCAUUUUGCUCAAAAUUUGAGUCACCCUUUUCGGGUUUUCAACUCAAAUCCACAUUUGGUCACAAAGCGCCCUUUGUGGGUUUUCGCCUUGGCCUCUCUUGUUCUUUCCUUUUCUUUUUGUUAUUUUCAUUUUUUUGAUUAUGAUUGAUUUUUUUUUUUAAUUUUGACUUUUUUUUAUUUUUGAUUCUGAUUUUUUUUUUGUGAAUUGGAUCUGAACUCAUAGGAUUAGGCAAGUCCUUGUUAUCCUUUUUGAUUAGAACCAAUGUUUUUUUCUCAAUAAAGUCUCCCGCAUAAGAUUCUCCACUUUCAUAUUGUAUGCGAAAAAAUCUUCUUUGGUACCUGAUUUCUUUCAGAAAGCCUUUUGGGGCGAAAUGACGCAAACUUUGGAUCUUCCUUUUCAAUUAGGAUGAAAUCCAACAAAAGUGUAGAGCUAUUGACUUCAAUAGGCAAAGCUAUGAUAAGUCAAAGAGAAAGUCAUUCCCUGUAUUAACCCGAAUGGCCUUCUUUCCCAAAUCUUCGAGGUGCAUCUUUAUCUGAUUGUAUCCAGAGAAGUUAUCUAUGAAGGAAAACAGCAAGUAGCCUGCUGUAUUAUUCGCUAGAGUAUGAAAAGCAAUGAGUUUUGGGACUGGCUUUGUUUAAAUCCCUGUAAUAUAUUCGUAUUUUCCAUCUUUUUAAUGACUUGUACGAUGUUGGCUACCCAUCCUGAAUAUUUGAUCACUUGUAAAAACCCAGUAUCAAACUGCUUUUUUGACUUUUUCUUGUAGCACAAUAUUGGGCCUCAUUCUCCUGAGCUUUUGCUGAGCUGGCUUACAAUGUUAUUUACAGGAAGACCGUAUACCACAGUGUUAGUGUUUAACCCGAGCAUAUCCUGGUAUGAUCAUGUGAAGACAUCUUUGAAUUCUGAGAGCAACUCAAUGAGGUCCCACUUUAUCUUUGUGGUCAUGUCGAUUUCAAUCUUCACCCAGCUCACAAUUUCUAUGAUUCCUUGUGAGGUAGGAUUUGUCUGUCCUCUUGUUCUACCAUCCUCAAUAAGUCUGGAGAUAGGCUACAAUCCCUGUCAUUUUCAAAGUCAUGAAAUCACUCUAAAACAUAUCUCACUCAAAAGGAGAUUCUAAGUUUAUAGCAGCGUCACUCAUGUCAUUGUAUCUGGGGGCCCAUAAUAAGUACCAAAGAAUAUAUAAAAGAAUAUGUGAACUUGUACAAUAUAAUUAUGAAUGAAAGGAUGAUGUGGAAGAAAAUCCAAAAGAAUGAAAGAAUAAUUAUUCAAAAAGAAUGAAAGAAUAUUGGCUCAAAAAUGAAUGCAAAGAUGUAUUUUAUUAGAAUAAUGACAUACAGACAUGAGCCUAUUUCACAAGGGAAUUCCUAUCAUUUUUAGGCUAAAAACCAUAAGAAUGUUUUGAACAUUACUCUAAAUAAGCUUUAAAGACUAUAGGGAUUUCUUCCGCAAUCCAAUUGGUUAGAACACUCUUAAAUUUAUAAGGGCGGACAUCUAACAAGGUCUCUUUUCAUUUGUGUCUUCAUAUAUGUCAUUGAUGUGAACACUUCCCAACACCUCUUCAUACAUUGCAUUCACCCCAUUGUCAAUCAUGAUUGGGUAGCGAAUUUUCUACAUUAGAUGAGUUAUUCAAGUUGACAAUACCCAUGUUGAUGAAUUUUUCAACUAGAAUUUUGAAGGUAAUGGAAUUCUCUAUUGAGUGCCCCGUAAGACCCGCAUGGUAGUCACAUUAUGCGUUCACAUCAUACCACUUGGGAUAUGGAGGUUGUGGAGGUUUUAAGAAGGAAGGGGCAACAACGUGCACAUCGAACAAACUUUGAUAGAGCUCCUUAUACGACAUUAGAAUCGGUGUGAGCUAGAGCUUCUCAAUACCUAGUUUCACUCCAAAUUCUUGCCUUAAUGAACCUUGUCGAUUAGUAACUCCUUUUCCUGGAUGACUUACAGUAACUGAUCUUGAGUAACCUAUGUUAUUCAUCUCAUUUUCUUUUCUCAUUGAGACUGCCUUUUUGUUAUUUUCUUCACCAUCUAUUCUUCCACUUCUGAUGGCAUUUUCAAUUAUUUCACCAUUCAUGAUUAUAUCUGAGAAACUCUUUGAAGCACUUCCCAACAUGUAAGUGAUGAAUGGGACUUUCAGUGUGUUGAUGAAGAGCAUUGUCAUUUCUUUCUCUAGGAAUGGCAGCUGAACUUGGACUACAACCUCUCUCCACCUCUGUGCAUACUGUCUAAAGCUUUCAUUCGAUUUCUUUUCCAAAUUUUGCAAGCUCAUUCUGUAGGAGUCAUUUUUGAUAUGUGACUGUACUGCCUCAUAAGAGCCUGUGCCAAAUCCCUCCAAGAACUAAUUUUGGUUCAGCUCAAUUGAUUAUACCAUUUAGAUGCUACCCCAGUGAGGCUAUCCUAAAAAUAAUGUAUUAGUAGCUGAACAUUGUUAAUAUACCCAAUCAUCCUCCUAUAGAACAUGGUGAUAUGGGUUUUAGGGCAAGUGGUCCCAUUAUAUUUCUCAAAUUAUGGCAUCUUGAACUUAUAAGGAAGUACCAUAUCUGGGACCAAACUCAGACCCUUAGCAUCCAUUUCACGAUAGAUUUCAGUGCUCUCCAGUGCCCUGAAUUUCUUUUCAAUCCAUUUCUUCUUUCCUUAAACUGUUUUGGCAAUUCUUCAUUUGCCUUAUCUUUCUCAGCUGCUUCAUCGAAAUCAGGGAUAGCAAGAUUUAUCGGGUUAUGUCCGGGAUUAGAGCUUGAUCCAGCCUGGAAGGUCAUAGGCACGGAGACACUAGAUUGAAACUGCUGACGCCUGAUUGAAACAGAGGAUCUGCGCGGAUGCACCUCAGCUUGAGCUUGCACAUGCGGAGGAGUACAACCUGGAGAAUAUAGAGGUCCAUCCUUGUCUCCUUCUUCAUCAAUAACCAUAGGGCCCUUCCCUUUAUGUACUCCACUAGUCAGUAAUUGUGUCAGCUUAGUCAUCAUGUCCUUUUGAGACUCCAGUAUCCUUUCUAUCAUGUUAUGUUGAAUUUUUUCUAAUUGCUCCUUCAUUUGCAUCUGUAACUGGUCCUGCAUUUCCUUUUGAAGUCGCUCAAGCUUUUCCAAUCUUUGAUCUAUUUCCUUAGUUUUGCGACGUGUACCGUAAGGGUGUUUGGUUGGUUGAUUUUCCAGAUUAGCUAAAAUGAGUUUACUCAAUUAGACUCUUUCAAUGGAUUUUAAUGCAUAUGAUAUCAUGUAAUGCAGAUGCAUGAAAUGAAUGCCUAAGGAGAUAUUGAUUCUGAUUCAAUUACAUUUAAAAAACUUUACUAGAAAGAAAAUUUCUUUACAUAAAGCGGAUAUAUAUACGGCCUCGCCCUCAUAUUCAAAGAGACAACAUCGAUCCCUUGCUUCAUCCAUACGUUAAAUCUCACUAGUUUCCAAUGAAUGUCUCCAGUAGCUCCUUUUGCUUGAUCCUGGUCGCAAUCUAUUGUCUGCCUAUCCUCGUAAUGCUCACCAGCUUCUUUAGGGAAAUUAGAAUGUCGAAGGCUCUUAGAUGAUCAUCUUGAAUCCUCGGGCCACAAAGCAAAGUCACGAACUCUUGCAUCACCAUUCCUGUGUUUCUUGGAAUAUAUUCAGCCAGUCGUAUUAUUUUCCACUUUAUCAAGGAAUCCGUAUUCCAUGACAAGCUUUCUAAUUUAGUAAUCGGACUUGAAUAAAUAUCUCUUUCCUAAAAUGCAAAUGCAAUGCAAUCAUAAUCAAAACACAACAAGAGGGAUUAGUACAAAACAGAAGCAAACAAGGAAAACAAAAGUACCUAGUCGGGUAACCACUAGGCAUUUGGAAGGGCUCUACCUAGGAUUAGUUCUUAAGGUCUUCUACAUGCGGUUUGGCUCUAAAGUCAAGGUACCCGAACCAGCAGAUUCCUCGAUCUUCACCCAUUAUAGGCUCAUAUAGACCGAGUUCGGUUCAGGGGAAUACAUUUCCCUAUGGCUACACGGAGCUGAAAAUCUCAUAAAGACAUAGGUACGGAUGUAUCCCGAAAGUGAUCGCUUAUCCUGCACGGAGGUGAAAACCUCACGAAGGAGUAGCUUCUCACGCCCACUUAAAAGGGUAAGACCAACAGUCUUUAUGCAAUAUGAUGCAAAAAUAUAGAACUCAAUCCAUAGUAAUCAAUCACAAACAAUGCAAUGAGAGGAUCAUAAUUUUUCAAAUCAAAUUUUUAAUUUUCAAUAAUAAGAUAAAAAAACAAUCAAUUUUACGGCUUGACUCUCUAAGGUCCCUAGUGGAGUCGCCAAGCUGUCAAAACCCUUUUUUUAUGUUUUAAAAUGAGAAUCGAUUUUGAAAAUGGAAAUGGAGUCGCCAUCGAACUUUAUUGAAGGUGUGAUCAGAUCACCUUGAAAAUGAUUUUAGGUCUACAGAUUUUGAGAAAAUAGGUUCGGGAGUCGGUUAAGCACGAGAAAGGGUUAGCACCCUCGUGAUGCCCAAAAAUUGGUACCGAAUUGAUUGCUUAAUGUCUUAGUAUUGAAAUUCUAAAAAGAUUCUAAAAUACGAUCCUUCAAAGUUAAAAUUUGAAUAAACUAAAUUGAAUGAUAAGAUGCACUCAUUUUGAAGAGAUAAAUUGUCACACUCAGUGAGUUAGGGUGCAACAAUUCAAUCGUUAAAAUUAAGUAUGUCCUUUUAAUUUUUAAAAUUUAAAAUUCAUGCAUUUUGAGAAGGUUAUUUGGUCAAAUGAGAAAUCAGAAUCCAGUAAGUUAAGGUUCAAUUUCUCGAAAUUUCUAAACUCCAAAUAUUGCCUUUAUUUGAAAAUCGAGAUAACAAAAUGCCAUAUCCAGUAAGUUAGGACCCAACAUUUUGAAGUCUCAAAACUUUAUUUUAAAGAUUGUAUGGUUUUAAUAAAAUAAACAAUUGGCUAUCUAAAUUCAUCAAGAAGAAUUGAAACCCAGUAAGUUAGGGCACAAUUCUCUUGAGAAUUAUGAACACCAAGCCCUUUUAUUAAAACUUAUGAAAUAAAAGGAUUGUAGUGCUUUAAUAAAAUGUAAUUCUUACAAAUGUAACAUGAUUGAAUGGUGAUGUAAGACGUAAAAGAUAAUAUAUAAUCCAAACACAUACUAAAGAAUAAUGAAUAAAUAAUAAAUUAAUACUGACAAACAUAGCAACAAUAAUCUCAAUUGUACAUUAUGCCAAUAUCAAUAUCAACGUUCAAAAGCUAAUAAAAAAACAAGCCGAUUAAUGCAAAUGCCAACCAAAUGUACAAGUUUUGAAAUAACCAAUAGUAACUUAUCUAAAAGAAAGCUAAAAGACAAUAAUUAUAAUAAUAGGAAAUCAAUAAUAUGUUCCUAAAAUAAAAAAAAUGAAAAUUACGUAUAUAUGAUAGUAUGGUAUGAAAGUAUGAUUGUAACUUUUAGAAUAUAGGAAUAUAAAAGAGAAUUUAAAAAUAAAGAUUAUAAAAACUAUAGCAAUAGAAUAUACAAAUCAUUUUAAGUUAAUCAUAAAAAAUAAAUGUUAAACUUAAGUAAUAAUUGGUGAAAACUUAAAAUUAUAGUAUAUAAUAAAUUUAAAAAUCAACCAUAAGAUGAAUAUAAAUAAUGUUAAUGAUAUUGGUGAUAAAUUAAAAAUAAUAUUAAGCUAAAUCAUAUAGAAAUAUUAGAUUUAAAACUAGGUACAAAAAAAAACUGAAAUAAUAUACAUUCAAUCAAAUAAAAUAAACCCUAAACUAAAAUAAAUUGGAUUUAAAACUAGAAUGGAGGAAAAAUUCAUGAAUAAAAUAGAAUAAAGGAUCCAAUUACGAAGCGUGAAUAGCUCGGAGGGAUUGAAUGUGCAAAUUUCCCUUAGAAGCAAAAUCGCGUGGAUCUGAGAUUGGAUCGGGUCAGUGCACGAGUUUGAGCCUCUAAACGGCGCCGUAUCAUGGCCACUACUCAGGCUCUGAACGACGUCAUUUAUUUCUUCAAAUAAAGGCUAAAUUAAGCCUAAAAUCAACAUAUAUUUGAAACUCACAAAUCAACCCUAAAAAAAAACCUAAUCUCUUCCCCUCCGUGUGCUGUUUCGGACUCAGCCACUCAAAGGCUCUCCGAUCCCAUGCUCGAUCUCCGAUUAUGACGAAGAGGACAAGGAUUUGACUUCUCAAAAAAGGUAAAAUCCUUCACCCUCCUUUCGUUUCCCUUUCUCAAAUAAUAAAUAAAAAGAAAAGAAAAAAAAAGAAUCGAAAAAUGAUAAAAAACGAGAGAAAAAAAACUCGAAGUCACCUUCAAUGUCUGAUUUCUUUCCUUUUCUUAAUUCAUUUUUCUAUUUCAAUGUGAGUAAUAUUUUACAGUGCUCAAAUGGCCUUUUUAUAACCGAAAUCCAUAAAAAUAAAAAUAAAAUCAAUCGAAAUAUAUAUAUUUUUUACAUUUUCAUUUAUUGCUCUCCUAUUUGUUGCGUUGCCUUUUCCUUGCUGUCAUUUUUCCCUUGCUUUCUCUGCUAGUUUGUUACGUCUGUUAUAGGUGCAAGCUGCAAUGGAGGCCUGGUUCGCAUGCAAGCAACGCGCGUGGUGGUGGCUUAGCACGCGCGGAGGCUACCAGGGGAGAACGACGCUAGAAGUUGUUGCUGUCUAGGGUUUUCUAUUUUUCUUGCUUUUGGGCUUGUGGGUUGCAAUUUUGGUAUUAGGUUUGAAUUGGUUUUGUAAUUGGUUAUUGGGCUGGGGUGUAUUAGGCUUAUGGUUUAUUUUAUUGGACUAUUAUUUUACAUUUUAUUUUAUUUUUAUUUUUAUUUAGUUUUAAUAAGCCCGAUAAAAUUGGUUAUUACAGCUGCGUUUUUCUGCUCGUUAUCGUGUAACGGGAACGAAGCAAAGACUUUAAAAAAGGCCAAUUUUGCCCGGUCGUGCUGGACCUUGGUACUCGUCCUCUUUAAGUAGCCUCAUUUCAUCCUACUGCAUCUUCAGAAGUAUAGGAAUUGGUGUCUCGAUCAAUUCCUCCGCAACGUCGGGGAGAUAGGGUUUGUAACUCAUAACUUUAAUUUGCUUAACUGUGAUGUCGGGGAAGCAAGAUUCACCUUCAUAGCUUUAAUCUGUUCUACUACACUGCUAGGGAAGUAAGAUUCGUUACCCUGAGUCUGCCCCACUGCAAUCUUCAGGGGGAUAAGACCUGCUUACUAAGUCUGCUCCGCUGCGACCUCGGGUGAUACGAGUCACAAAGGCCCAGUUCAAGCUCAAGAAUGUGAUGGGCUCAAAUUACCACAAGACCCAAUAACGAGGUCAAAGGCAAGGAAAAUGUGCAUGAAACUAAAUGGAACCGUUCAAGACUUCAUUAGGAAGGCCUUAGAUGUGUACACAAAGGAAAAAGAAAAUCAAGAUUCACUUUCUUGUUUUCAAGAAAAUCAAGAAACCGAAUCUUGGUCCAAUUUUGGUGUUUUGCACGAUUUCAAGAAUCAGGAAAAUCAAGAUUUCAAAUCUUGGAAAUCUUGGCCCAAGAAACUGAAUCUUGUAGCUAAAGCGCAUUGGAUCUCAGCUACGAGCAUCAACGAACCAAUUUCGGGAGGGAACGGAUUACAAGCCCAAGUUCUUGAAGAUAUGGCCCAAUAAGAUGUUCCAAGCCCAACCAAGAAGUUUAAAUUGGACUUAGUUGAAAAUCAGGCCAAAUUGUCAAAGUGGCCCAAUUUGUGAAAUUUUAAUUCUUUAAAUACUUAGUUUUAAUUUUUAGACUUUAUAAAUAAAUUCCUCUGUAAAAAUUAAGCCCAAGAAGCCCAUUAACGGCCUUGGUCGAAUUUCCCUUGAAAAAUCAAUAAUUAGGGUUUUUUUUUAGUUUUCCUAAUAGGGUUAGGAAAAUAGUUAGGAGGCCUAUUUAUAUGGCUUGGCCAGCCACCCUAGAUGACACAUAACAUUGAAAUCAGAUUUUUUAUUGAGUGAAAAAUUCUCUUUGAGUUUUCUCCAAGAAUUCUCUCUUGAGUUUUCUUUACAAAUAGUUUUAACAAUCUUUUUGAUUGUGGGAGCCAUCUUCAGCCUUCUUCUUGCCAUUGUUCUAUAUUGGAGGGAAGAUUAGAGCCGUUUGAAGGGAGUUGUGAAAUCUUUUUGAUUUUAAGGCUUUUUAGGACUUUUUCUUUAUUUUUCUUGCUAUUCAAUCUUCUUAAUUUUCUGCUUGUGUUGAUUUCAUUGAUUAACUUGUUUAAACUCUCUUGUUGCGUUUCCAGCCCCUUGUUCAAUCUUCAAGCAACUGUUAGGCAUCAUUCUUGUCAGCAAGAAAACAUUUUCUAUCCAUAAUUUUCAAUUGACCUUGCCGCCCAAUUAUCCUAUCUCUGAUUCAAUUCGGUUUGCUGAGUUUUUGAAUUAACUUGCUGUUUUGUGUUCAAUUGUUAGAUUCGGCUGAUUGGAUUCUUUCUUGAAGUUCAAUUUCGUGUUCUUGGCUUCCAAGAAUCCCUUAUUAAUAAGUUUUUCGAUUCUUGGUUGAUUGUUUAUUGUUUUGAGGUUUUUGUUUCAGAUCUGGAAUUCUAAGAUUUAAUUUUUCUGUUUCAUUUCAGAUCUAAGCAUCUAAAGCUUUCGUAGGAUUUUCCCGUGACUUAACAACUAGAUCUUGGUCCGCGGGCAACCCCCUAUCAUCGGGGAGAUAAGAUUUAUUUUAAUCCACUCCACUGCAACUUUAAGGAGAUAGGACUACUGUCGUCAAUCUGCUCCACUACUGCUUAGGGAGAUAAGAUCUGCCAUCUUCGAUCUGCUCCACUAUUGCUUAGGGAGAUAAGAUCUGUUUCUUCGUUCUACUCCGCUGCAACCUCACGGAGAUAAGACCUGAUGCGAUCUACUCUACUGCAACUUCAGAGAGAUAAGAUCUGUUAUUUUAAUCCACUCCACUGCAACCUCAGAGAGAUAGGAUUAGUGGCUUUAAUCUACUCUACUGUAACCUAAGGGAGAUAAAAUCCACCAUCUUCGAUCUGCUCCACUACUGCUUAGGGAGAUAAGAUCCGUUUCUUCGGUCUGCUCCGUUGUUACCUCAAGGAGAUAAGACCUAAUGCGAUCUACUCUACUUCAACUUUAGAGAUAUAAGAUCUGUAAUUUUUUUUUCAACCUACUCCACUGCUGCUCAGGGAGACAAGGCUGGGGUCUUCGAUCUGCUCCACUACUGCUUAGAGAGAUAAGAUUUGUAAUUUUUCAAUCUAUUCCACUGCUGACCAGGGAGAUAGAAUUCACAAUCUUUAACCUAUUCCACUGCUGACCAGGGAGAUAAGACCUACAAUCUUCAAUCUAUUCCACUAUUACCCAGGGAGAUAGAAUUCUCAAUCUUCAACCUAUUCCACUGCUGACCAGGGAGAUAGGACUUACAAUCCUCAACCUAUUCCACUGCUUUCCAGGGAGAUAGGACUAGUAUCUUUGAUCUACUUCGCUGUCAGUAUGGGAAGGCAAGAUCUGUUCUUUUCAACCUACUCCGCUGCAACCCAGGGAGGCAAGGCUGGUGUCUUCGAUCUGCUUCGCUGUCAGUGCAGGAAGGCAAGAUCUGCUCUUUUCACUGAUCUAUUCUCUGGGGAACAUGACCGGUAUAAUGAACCUAAUUAUACCUAAUGAUUAGGAUGGCAUGAUCAAAAUGAAUCAAAUGCUCCUAACUAGACAUGUGUGAAUGGUGUUUGCAUGAAUGCAAACUUUUAUUUUUCUCAAGAAUGAUCCGGCUUAGGUUGUCAUUACUCAAAGUUUAUUAAGGCUUUAUCACUGACGUGCUACAACACCUUCUUGCUUGGCUGGCUUUUCUGAAGAAACAUUUAUUCAAGUUGCCCCUACUGUAAACCUCAAAGUUCAAUCCAUUGGGGCACAAAAUAUGUAUCAUCAUUCUCCCACUGUAACCCAAGGGUAGGAAUAAAUGGAUUUUCCUAAAUCCUUUCCUAUCACAAUUCAAGGAUACAAGAUCUAAAUGUUUCUGGUCCCUUACACCAUUCUCAGGGUGUCGUACCAAAGUCUCAUGCUUAAAUAAAGGCUUUCUUUUUCGAGGAAACCUCUUCUUAUUGCCUGGUGAUCAAUGCUUGCUUGUUUAUUUAAGUUUUGUCACCAACCUGACAUCUUCUCAUUUUGGUCAAUCAAUGUUUUUGACAAAAUCCAAAGAGAAAGUCCUAAUUUAGACUCUUCCUUCUCAAAUUUCCAACCUUUAAACUUGGUGCGUUCUAAACAAUAGUCCUGUUUUAGGUUCCUGUAUUAUUUAGAAACUUUUAGAGUAAUAGGCAAAACUUCCCUUGUGAAAAUUUUAUUAGUCCAUUAAUCAUUAUUCCAAUGCAACAUGCUUGCAAAAAUGUCAUAACAAUGGAUGAGAAUACAAUUGGUUCUGAGCAUAGCUCGAAAGGAAUAGAUUAUCAAAAAUAGUAAAUAAGGAUAACAAAGAAAUUGAUUGGGAAUGUGUAUCUUGGAAAAGAAUGAAGUAUUCUAAGAACAACAAAUUCAAUUUAAAUAGUAUGAAAAUAGGGUGCCCCAGAUAUCGCAGCUUGAACUUCUCUGUACAAACUUUCUGAAGACCAUUCUGAGUUUGACAUGUGUUUAGGAGAUUUACAGUACUUCGUCGAUGCCCCAAGAUGUCGCCUACCAUUUCCUGUUGGUUCAAGUAUAGCAAGAUCAUCAUAUGCCCCAAUAUGAUCAAAAUUCAAGUUGCUCUGAUCACCUUAUGCCCCAUUCUGAUCAAUAUUUCAGCUGCCAUUUUCUGGUUUUCAACUCAAACCCCCUUUGGUCUCAAGGUGCCCUUUGUUGGUUUUCACCUUGGCCUCUCCAUUUUCUUUUUCUUUGGUUUAUUUUUUUAUUUUUUGGACUCAAAGCGCCCUUUGCGGGUUUUCACUUUGGUGUUUUUUUAAGGAAUCAAGGCGCCCUUUGUGGGUUUUCACCUUGGUCGCUUCUCCUUCUUCAGGAGAAGUAAUACUUGAAUAAAUCUGAGUUUGCAGGAUUUGGCAAGUUUUUACCAUCUAUCCUACUCAUGAUCAGAGCUUCUCCGAAAAAGGCCUUUGGCAUCUAUUUUCCUCCAAAAUCCUUUUGUGUAGGAAGGAUCCUUCUCAAUAUUAGGUUCCUCUUAUGGAAUUCCCUAAGGUGAACCUUUUGGUUGUAGGCUCGCAUCAUUCACAUUUGAUACAUCUGACUGUGCUGAAUAGCUUUUAGCCUUUUUCCUUUUGAUUAGAUUAGAUCCAUUCUGCUUCAUCUAACUCUUAGCUUAACUAUUAUCCAGAAAAAAAGAAUUUCUACUUCAAUAGGUAAAACUACUUCUAUCCCGUAAACCAAAGAGAAAGGUGUUGCCCCGGUGGAAGUCUUGAUAGAUGUUCGACAAGUAUGGAGGGCAAAUGGUAAUUUCUCAUGCCAACCCUUGUAGGUCUCAAUCACUUUUCCACAAUUCAUUUUUUAGGUGAUACAGUGACGAACUGUGGUUUCUGAUUAUGAAUUGAUUACAGACCUCAGCUAUCAUGCUAUCAUUCAAGUUCAAUGCAUUUUCUAAUACCAUCUUCUCUUGAAUUCUAUAUCGGCAUAUGAAGACGUUGACGCAUAAAGCUGCCUCUAUCCAUUUGAUGAAGUAAUUAAUGAUCUCAACAGUGAAGCAAUGCCUAUUAUAAGCCUUCGAUAAUGAUGACGUCUAUGCCCCAUUUUGCUCAAAAUUUGAGUCGCCCUUUUCGGGUUUUCAACUCAAAUCCACCUUUGGUCACAAAACGCCCUUUGCGGGUUUUCGCCUUGGCCUCUCUUUUUCUUUCCUUUUCUUUUUGUUAUUUUCAUUUUUUUAUUAUGAUUGAUUUUUUUUAAUUUUAACUUUCUUUUUUUAUUUUUGAUUCUGAUUUUUUAUUAGAAUAAUGACGCUCAUACAUGAGCCUAUUUCACAAAGGAAUUCCUAUCAUUUUUAGGCUAAAAAUGACAAUAAUGUUCUGAACAUUACUCUAAAUAAGCUCUAAAGACUAUAGGGAUUUCUUCUGCAAUCCAAUUGCUUAGAACACUCCUAAAU
RNAcentral lists this long non-coding RNA (53142 nucleotides) under Gossypium barbadense (sea-island cotton). RNAcentral describes it as "long non-coding RNA (GBAR_LNC016612)". Lineage: Eukaryota; Viridiplantae; Streptophyta; Magnoliopsida; Malvales; Malvaceae. The record is from RNAcentral.